UUUUUUUUUUUUUUUUUUUGUAAGCCUCCCUUCAUUUAUUUAUUUUUCAAUCAUAAUACUACAUUCAAUAGAAAAGUUUAAAGUAGAAUUGUUAAGGAUGUAAGCUGAAAAUACAGAUUUAAACCCAUUGUUUUAAAUCCAUUAAGAUUUGAAAUUAAUGACAAGUAGGAUGUUCACUGUAGCCAAGUACUUAUUAGAGCAAUUCAACUUUAUCCUCUUAAAUUCUAUCAAACAAUAAUCCAACCAUUUAGUACUUUAUAUAUAUAUGUAUGGUGACAAUAAUUGAAGUUGAGGUUUAAAUGAAUUUGCAGAGAAGGAGAAAGAUAAGUGGAAGAAGUCAAGAACGCACCUCGAAAGAAAUUGAAAGUUGGGUAAGCAUUUAAUUGUGAGGGGUUCGGGUAUUGACUUUCUCCAUUAUUAUCAUUAUUAUUAUUAUCAUUAAUGUAGUUAAAAGCUUAUGAUAAUUUUAGGGUUUCUCUGAGGAGUUUUUCAGUUUCUUCAUGUAGUAUAAAAUUCUGUUUGUGUCUUAUUGUUGUAAUGUUUUCCAAUGUGUGCAUUAUUAGAGAGAGUCUAGGGGGAAGCCCACACCUUACUGCCUCUAUAUAUAAGUCUAAUAUAUAUAACAUUUCCAAGCUGAUUGUGUAUCAUUAUCUCAUAUAAUAUAUAAUGUAUUUUCUCAUUAUUUUUGUCCAUUUUUGUUCUAUUUCUUUCAGUGGAGAAAAUAAACAAGUAACCAUGCCCAUGAGGGAUAAUUUGGAUAUGUCACAUAUGACAUAUGUGAGUCUAAUAAAAAACAUAGGGUAUUGUAUAAGAAUCUUAAAAGUUUAUGAGCGUAUAAACAUUUAGAUCAAUUAUGAUAGUAAUUCUAUAGUUCUUAUACAAUUAUACUUUAGAGUCUAGAGUCUAGAGUCGUUUGGAUUGAUUGAAUUACAAUUUGAAUAAAAAAAGAAUCAACAUACCAUUCUUUGAUUUCCAAUUAUAUCUUAAAUUUUUCAAACAUAUGUAUACAUAUACAUACAUACUUUCAACCAAAUGGACCUAAAUUAUAAGCUUGUAACCUUAUAUCUACUUUCUUUCUUUUUAAAAAGAAAACAAAGUUUUUAUAUCUUGAAUUUGAGCUUUUAAAACCUAGUUCCACCCAUAAUUAAUUUUUUUUUAGUUUUAGCAAACUUUUUACCAAUAUUUUUAAAAAUCAACUCAAUUUUUUUCAAUGGAAAAACAAAAACAAAAUCACUAGCUUUUUACCAUAAAAAUUAUAAUUCCAUCCAAUUAAGCUUAACUAGACUUAAAAAAAAAGGUGUACUUUUACGUCUAAAAGCAAACUCUAAACUUCUAAUUCAAAUCUCACUAAACUCUAAAGCUAUUUCCAAUAAUCUACUACGACCCCCCAAGAAAAAAAAGUAUGCAGUAUUUAAAGAGCAGUAAAUAAUGAUUGCAACUCCAUCGAGUUUGUACAAAAUAACGACAUGUCGUUUAAGUCCAAAGCCCAGGAUGAUUUUAGGGGCCCAAUAAAAUUUAUCGGGUGUUAAAGUGGGCUGAAAAACCAAAAGCCCAUAAGAAGAUCGUCGGCAGAAUAAGCACAGAAAGUCAAAGCUUAUUUUGUAGGAUUCCUAGUCGGUCAUGGAAUCGAAUUUUGUCCCAUGAAAAUUAAUAUGUUGGAGUUUUCUUCUUCUUAUUUAUUUAUUUAUUUCCUUCAUUUUUAUAAAUAAUAAAUAAUGUGGGAGUUAUUUUAAUGAUUUUUUAAAAGAGAAUAAAUAAUGUCGGAGUUUUGUUACAAACAAUAUAAUAUAUCUCAUCUAAAACCCACAAAGGUCAACCCCUUGGCUCUAUCAUUUAUGUCUCUUCCACCUUCUCUCUCAUUCUUUUCUCUAUCUAAAGCUUUUCAUUAUAUUCCAUUUCUUCUGUCUUUACACUUAAUUCUUUUAUACAAUCUUUCAUAAGUGUAAGAUUCGAUAUUCAUCAAUUAAAUCAAUUCUAAAGUAUUUCAUUAGAUGUAUUUGUAGGAGAAAGGAACAUCAAUUAAACUAAAAACAAAGUUACGAUGAGAAAUCAAAUGAAAUUAAUAAUAUUUUCUUUUUUCUCCUGUCUCUCUCUAAUUUUCUGUUGGAACAGUUUGGUUUUAACUUCCUUGGGUGGCCCAUGACACCGAUUCAACGUCAUGGACGACCAUUUUUCUCCAUUUUUCACCACCCCCCAAUUAUCAUUCUAACAAUUAAUAAUGACAGUGGAAUUUUAUAUAUAUGUGUAUUUCAAAUUAUCAAACUUCUCCCUUUCUUAAACCCCUUCUCUCAAAACUCUCAUCUCUCUCUCUCUCUCUCUCUCUCUCUAUUAUUGUUUUCUUUUCAUGGAGAACAACGACCACGCCACCCUUCAAGCUGAUGAUUCCCUGCCGGAAAAUUCCUCCGCCGUCAGAGAUGAAGAGCAAGAAGAGAGUGGUUGGACUGAUUACUUGGAGGAUUAUUUCAAUUCGGAAUUUGUUGAAAGAGAGAGCAGUUUUUUGUGUUCAAGUAUUGGGAGCUGUUCAAAUUGGGAUGAUCGUAAUAAUAUUUCAUAUCCCAGUUAUGAUAUUAAUUAUAAUAUCAAUAUUGGGAAUGUAAAUUAUGACGAUUUCCCAAAGUCAAAUAACCUAACUUUCAAGAAAACAAGAACUCAGAAGAUUUUUGAGGAUGAUGAUUCCUUACAAGAUACUGCUACUUCUCCUAUUCAUAGUCCAAAAGUUAGCACAUUAUGUUGUUUAAUUUUCUUCUUCCCUUUUUAAUUUUUUACUUUCUAUGAUCUUGAAAAUCAAUAUUGAAAAAUCUCUCUGUCUUAGGUUGUUGAUCUGAAAGUGAGAACAUCCCAAGAAAAUCAAGGGUUUGAUGAUCACAUCACAAUCUUCGCUAACUCUACGGUAAUUGCUCUCUUCUUUCUUCUCUUCGUGAAAUUAAGCAUGACGGUUGUAAACCGUUGGAUGAUGUAGAUGAAAAUUUAUGGGUUUUUUUUAAAAAAAAAAUUAAACCCACAUGAUGAUUUUUGUAGGGAAGUGGAAGGCAAAUGGGGAAAUAUUAUUCAAACAAAGAGAAGGGUGUUUAUUCAGCUGAGAAAAAAGGGUUGUGUUUGUUUCCCUUCUCCAUGCUCCUUAAUUACCAUAAUUGAGACUAUGUAUUUUUUAAGCAAUAAUAUGUUGAGCAAUUUAAAUACUCUCUCUCUCUCUCUCUCUCUCUCUCUCUCUCUCUCUCUCUCUCUCUCUCUCUUUAUUUUAAUUGUUAUAUAUAUCAAGUAAAUAUGUGACAAGAAUUUAAUCUCCUCUUCCUUCUUUCUUAGGAAAUUUUUUAGUUAUGUAUAUACUUCCAAAGUUAAAUUCGUUUAGUUGCACACACGUUGUGUAGGAGUGGAAGUUAUAUCUUGGGAGUGGAAGUGCUGAAAAGACUCCAAAUAUACAAGUAGGAAAAGACAAUAUGCAUCUCGAUAUAAACUACAUGCUUUCUCAAACCUUAUUUCUAAUUAACUUUUUGUUGUUCAUUUAUUUGCAUGGUUUUAAUAUUCUAUCCAAUUAGUUUUCACAGAAUAUUUUUCCAACAUAAUAAUCAUUAAAACCUCUAAUGUAAACUCUCAACCUAAAUUAAUUAGUAUUACUAUAAUUCAUUACUAUUUACUCUCUCUCUAUGUGCUUGUUCUCUCUCUUUGUGUUGUUUAAUUUUUAGAUUAUUAUUCCACGAACGAGAAAACUUUCCUCUUGACCAACCACCACUCAAAAAAGUAUUCAUAGCUACAUUUAUAUAUAUAUAUUAGAAAAAGUAGAAGUUAUCCAAUUAGAAAAAGAUGGUGGGUGAGUGAGAGGUAUUCUUGUUCACGAGUUAGAAGAUGGGUCUUUUUCCUUAAUUAAAUCGAUUGCUUUAACUUAAACCCUAAUUAAUUAUCCAUGAUUAUCUUUUAAGUUAUUUGAGUAUAUAUGUGUGUGUGAAAUCAAACUCAUGCAAACAUGGGUUUUUCCUUUGUCAUUUUUCAUGGAUUUUAUAUUAUUUUAUUUUACAAAAGACUUGAAUGUCAAGUGAUCUCAUGAACUUUUGAUUAUUACAUGUGAACUUGGAAGCAAAUUUUCAAAACUUGUCAUGUGUGCCUAAUAAAUACUUUAAAUGUUCAAUCAUUCAAGAAAUCUAAUUUGAUAUUAUCUAAUAAUUGAAAUUAUAAUGAAAAACACAUUCAAUCAAUGUUUUAGAUACAGAACACGUAUAUAAGUUUGUGUCACAUCGCUCAAUCAAAUAAAAUUAAUUGGUGCCAUCUUUGUUUUAACAAAAUGGUCAAUCAAGAAUUGAUUUGUUAUAUCAAUUAAAUCAUUAAAGGAUGAUUGUAUAGUUUUGUAAAUCAAUUUACACAUUUUAUUGAAGAAUAUUUCAUGUGAAAUUUAUAAGUGUAUGAAUUGAAAUGCAUGUAUGAAUCAAUUUAGACUCUAAUCAUAAUUUUCUUUCAAAAUUGUCCAUGUGUCUGAUUAUCCAAUUUUUAAAAUUGGAAUAAAUACCGCACAUGUUUGAGAACUAGUGUAUGGAUGGUAAUCAACGCUAAUCUUCUAAUUAUGAAGAGUCAAAAUUAAUUGACUGAUGAAACUUUCCAUGUUUUAAAAUCGAUUCAAAUUAUAAGUUUAACAUGAUAUUAGUUCAACAAAAUUUAAAGGAGUUAUACAUAGAUCGAUUUCAAUGUUUCAACUGAUACACAAUUAUCAAUUUAGAGUUUUACAUUGAUAGAACCUCAAAGUUUAUGACAUUUGACCAAUAUGAUUUACAUCUUUAAAUGUAUGGCGACAAAGUUGCAUGCGUAGUACCGAGUGUUAUAAAACUUUUGCUUGGAUUGACAUGCCAUUAUUCAAACGUUGUUGGAAAGGUAAAAUGUUUGGUUCCAAAAUAGUAUAUUUGGACCCCAAAAAACAUGUACUAAGAAAAAGAAGAAACAAGAAAAAGAAAGGCACAAAGUUUUGUUUGUUUUCACAUGAAAAUUUUUAACUUUAGAAGUUGUUUGAUGGAUAAAUGGAUGGGUUGGGUGAGAUCAUUGCACAUAUUCUUCUUUUCACUCAAUAUCAAAUUUUCUUGUUUCCUUUCCUUUUUAUUUAUUAUUAUCUACUUUGGUGGAGAGAUGUGUUGUCAAAAGACUAAAUUAUUAAAAAAACAAAUUCUUUUUAUUCUUUGUUUUAAUAUAAUAUAACUUUCAAAAUGGGUAAGAAAAAUUCCCAUGAUACACUUGAACUUUUAAGAGAAAUUAAUAUUCUUAAAUAUCUUUUUUAAAAAAUAAAAAUAUCAUUAUCUAAUACGUUAUUAUCAUUAAUAUAAGCAUUCUAAACAGUUUAAAGUUUGGUUUGGUGUAUUAUUAUUCCAACGUUUGAAAAAGUUAAAAGUAAGAUUUUUUUUUUUUUUUUUUAUGAUUUAACAUUUUCAAUAUUAAAUUAGUGGAUGCAUGGUUUGUUCUGAGUUAAUGCAAUGGGAAAUGGGUCCAUGAAAAGUCUAGACAGAACAGUGGUUUAGAAUAACAAUAAUAUAGACAUAGAUAUAGAGAUAGAUAUAAAGGAUUAAUGUAAUUUUAAAGGGAAAUAGAUAAUAAUAAUAAUAAAAAAAAAGGAUGUGUUGGGUUUAAAUUUGAAAUAUAUAAAAGGAAAUCAAAGGGGGAGUUGUUUAAAUAAAGAAAAGAAAAGAAAAGAAAGAGAGAAGGGUGGAGACCCCUCCAUGUGCAAAACACAGAGUAGGCUGAGGAAGGUAGUUCAGUUUAAUGGAAAUUUGUACAUCAAUUAAUUAACUUUUUCUGCUACACUCACUAUAUCUAUGUUACCUCUUCUCCACAUUUUUAGAUGUGUAUUUAAUCUUUAUCCAAAAAGGAAAUUCUUUAGGUAAAAAGAAAAAUAUAUGUAUUUAGUCUUUUUAAUUCUUAGUUAUUAUCUGUUGGAUCAAACAGUGAGGUAUGUAAUAAAAUCUCUGUCCUAACACCCUCUUAUUCGUAGUACAUUAAUGUCUAUCUAUGUUUUCAAAUUUUGUCAAUAAUUUACUUUUACACAUGCACUUGUGUUCAUUAAGGGUUAUAUAUAUAUCUAUCUAUAUAUGUUCUAUUUACCUAUUCUAUUUACCUAUUCUACUUCCUUUUCUAUUAAAUUACUUUCACCUACAACUUGGCAUCCUCCAUAUUACUUUAUCUUGUAAGCUUUCUAGGAAAAUUUGUUUGAAUUGAAAAUUGAAAAUUGAAUAAUAAUGAAAAAAAAAAAUGUUGUAUAACUUUAAAAUUAUAUUUUGGUACUUUCUUAGUCAACCGAACCUAACUCAAUUGACGUACGAAUGUGUUGUACUAAAAGAAAAAUAAGUUUGAUUUUAGUCAAAUAUUAUACCUUUUGAAAUUAUCAAGAAAAUGCAUGCAUUUGAAUAAACUUAAAAGGUUUCUUGUAUGCUUGGCAAAAAGAAAAACACUUAUUUACUUUUGCAAAAAUGAUUAAGAAAAAAAAAAAAAACUCAACCCACGUGAUACAUCUUAUUAUAUAGACUUGAUACAUCUGAUAUACUUGAAAUACUUUUAUGCAUCAUUGAUAUAUACUUGAUGUACUUGAUACCUCCUUCCAAUAAGACAUUUGAUACACACUUGAUAAACAUUUGAUAUAUAUAUUUAAUAUAUCAAAUAUUUGUAUUUAUGUUAAAAAAAAAAAUUGAAUUUUUAUUGAAAGAUUGUGAGAAAAGAAAAAAAAUAUAUUUAUGGUAAAAGUAAAAUCCUCGAACACAUUAUUAUAACUCAAACUAAAAUAAUUUAUAUUUCAAACACAAACUAUUAAAAUCCAAUUAUAAUAAUCAAGGACUAUAAUAACUCACUCUUUAGUCUUUAUCUCAAACGCUCUAUUAAAAAAGUGUUUUACUUUUUUUUUUUUGUCCUAAAGUUGAUAAAAAUCAAUUUAUUCAUGAAAAUAUCACAUUAGUUUAUAUCUGAAAUGUCGUUACAUAUAUUUAUUUAAUUGUCAUUAAAUUAAAAGUUUUAUUUUUUAAUUUUUUUGUCAUUUUUAAUAUUUAUGUAUAUAAACAUGUGAAUUAGAUGUAUCAAGUAUACCUUAGGUAUACUAAGUAUAUGAUAUGUAUAAAUGGGAUUGGACUUAUUUGAUUGUUUUUUAUCAUAUUUACACAUACCCAAGAAGAAAUGAAUAAAAAUGAAUGAGAAUGAAUUAUUGUUUUGAAAAUUAGAUCACAUCAACUAAUUUCAUAAAAAUAAAGAAUGAAUUGGUUGGAAUAUAGAACAAAAAUAAAGUAACAAAAGGGUAGCUAUAUGGUCAGGGUUGGUUGGUUAGUUAAGCAGUAGCAUAUACAUAAAUCAAUUCAAUUAGAGAGAUGAUUAAUUAAUUAACUUAGUGCCCAGUUUAGGUAUUGCCUUAAGAUUUAAUUAAGUACCUAAGCUUAAGUUAAGUGACCCAUUACAUAAUAUUAACCACCAAAUUAUCAAUCAUGAUGGGGUUUUUAUUUUUAUAAUCGGAUGAACUUAAAACACAAGAAUUCGUCUUUAUUAACAACUACAAGUCAAAUAAUUAAAUUAUUAUUUCAUCUUUGGCCUUUUUAUUUCAUUUUUUAAUUUUAGCCUUAUAUGUUUUUUUCUUUGGUCCAAUUAUAAAAAUCAAAACUAGAUUUUUCUAAUUUUCCAUUUUCAAAAUCUCCAUUUGGAUUCUUCCAAACAUUUCAAAAAAAGUAAAUAAUGCUAAGCGUAACAAAUUAUGAGAUUAGCGGUCUAAAACAAACUUUAAAUGUCUGAAAUAUAAUUAAAAAAAAUAUCAACAAGCAUCCUAAACGAAAGGAGUUUAAUGUAAUGAAAUUUGGACGGAUAAGUUGAACCAGUAAAUCUUGAGUAUCAAAUGACUGAGUUAUAUUAACCUCAUCAUUUGACCAUUUAGAAAAAGAGAGCAAGUAUCUUUAAAUGAGAGAUCAGUCUUAUAUAUAUAUAUAUAUAUAUUUUUUGUACUUAGUUAAAUUAGUCGCUAUUAUUGUGUUAUUUCACAUUUGGUGAAAGUCCAAACUAAAGCACACUUGGGCAUUGGGUUAUUUUAAAAUAACCAAACUUGCAACCGUGGGAAAAAAGCAUGCAAAUGAAAAGAAUUAAAAGGUUAUGACAAUUGAUAAAUAUAUUGAAAUUUACCCAUCCAACCAGAAAUUCUUGUACAGUCGUUCUGGAUUGAUUUGUGGUCCGAUCAAUCUAAAAUUUUGAUAUUCUUGGAGCUACUUACAAUGAGUUACUGUGGGUAAUUAGUUGCCAACGUCGAGUGAGAUAUUUCUAAUUAUUAUUUCUUAAUCAUUGUUGUCGAUUUUUUGUCAAUAUUGUUAAUCUUAAGAUAUAUUUAUAUAUGCCUCUAGACUCUAGUGGCAAUGACUAGGAAGAACUUGUUGCACCCAUUAUUUUGAUUUUAGUGGAGAUUUUGUCUUUGGUUCAUAGUCUUUUAAUUUACUACUUAUUUUGAGGGGGUUUUCCACAUUAUAGUUCUUUGUUUUCAUACUCGGUUUAUUGUUUUCAGUUUGUCAGUAUGAUAUUAGAUUCACACAACAAUGAGAUUAUCGAUCCAAAGAUAUAAUGUUUAUACCAAUAACUCUAACUUGUGUUGAAACUCAAUAGACACAACAAUAUAUUACAUCGAUGCAAGGAAUUCUUAUACAUAUCAACUCAAAAGGUAACAAAAUCAAACUAGACCCUGACAAAAACGAGCAUAUAUUUUUUAGAAAUGUUGAAUUUGUCUAAUCCUCCCCAACCAAUUAACAAAACUUAGUAUACUGAACCAAUUAACUUCAAUUAUUUCAAACUUGAUUGAGAGGAAGAGAAUCAUAAACUACAAAAACUGAGAUUCCAAUUCUUGGGAUGUGACCACCAACUUUAAGUUGGUGAUUAAAUUAUCUACUUUUGCUAGUCUUUUUAGCUAUGUUUAAUAACUCAUUAAUCAUUUGAUUUUAGAUUUAAUAAUCAUAUAUAUUAUGAAUUUUGUCAAAUUGAACUUUAACUCACAAGAACUCAACAGUAAUUAGUAUAAUCGAAUCUUUGCCGUAGAAAAUUCAAUUUCACACUUCCACAAUUGUAGUAUAAAAAAGAAUACAAAUUUUUUAUCUUGUAUACUAAUGGAAGCUUUUAAAAUUCAAGAAUCUUUUUAACAAAGGGUUUUAGAUUUUUCUCAAACAUAUAACUCCCAAAGUUGAAAUUCUUUAGGUUUGUUUAAAGCCCAAACUGAUAAGAUGAUCAAGACACCAUUUAUGCUAAAUAUAUGAAUGUAUGCAUAUGUAUAUAUUAUAUUUAUGGGUGCAAUCUUGGUCUGACCUUGAAUCUACCCUCAUUUAGUUACAAUUAAAUUCUUAUAUAUAAAGAGAUUCGUCGGCAGCCGUUGAACAACAUAUAUUCUAAUUCUUGUAUUAAAAAGAAAACAUAAAACUUUUUCAAUUUUGGAAUUUAAUUUCGAAGCAUAAAAUCUGACAACCUGGUUCAUAUCUUUCAAUAUAGUGCAUACAUACAUUGUAUGUUUCAACAAAUUCAAACUCUAUACUAAAUUAAAUUAAUGUAUAUAAAACAACCCUUUUUUCAUUUUAUGUAUUAUUUAUUAAUGUAUAUAUAUAUAUAUGACAUAAACUCAUAAUUUUUUCUUUUUCUUUUGAUUUCUUUUUCUCAAGAAAAUAUAAAGUUUAAGGAAAAGGUGAGAGUAAAUUUAGGAAGGAAUUCCACUUAAAUUAAUCAUAUUAUUAGUCCCUGUCUUGGAAAUGAGAGACAUUAGAAGAGAAAUAUAUUUCCCAAUGGAUAAAGCUAAGUUGUACAUCCAUAUACUAAAAUAAAAAAUCAACUUUGGUAUAUAAUUAUUUAAAAUCAUACAAACAUGUUUUUUUUUUCUUCAUUUCUAUCAGUUAAUGAAAAUUUCCAAAUUAGGAAACAAAGUGGCCACAUUGAUAAAAUGAACGUACAACGUACUCUCCCCUUAAAAGAUUUGGUUUCAUACACCAAUGAACCUUGCUAUCAUUCACAUCCUACAAUUAUUCAGAACAUCUAACAAUAAACUAUAUGUUCAGUUCUGUAGUUUGUGUAUUUCAUACUUGAUCAUCAUGUCCCCACAAUAUUGAAAUGUUUGAUCAAUUUAUUUGAGUUCCAAUUGUUAUUUUGUUCACACUACGUAAUAAAUAAUUAACUACAUUUUAAAAUAUGAAAGUUCAUGAUUUGUUCCUUACCCUUGUGUUAUUUUAAUGAACUCGGUAAGAAAUUGGGAGCUCGGAUAGGCUUUACAUUCCUCAACGAAUCUGGAAAUUUGAAAGUGCGUUGACAAAAUCCAGUUAACAAAGAGACUAUCAUUAUUGUAAGUUGUUAAAAAUAGUGUUCAUAUUGGGAAUUGUUCGUCAAAUCUCAAAAAAAUAAAUCAAAACAGUGAUUUUCUUUUCCCAACAAGAACUAAAGUGUUGCAAAUUUCAUAGUACAAAAGCUAAUGUACUUGGCCACAGAUUUGAGUGUGUAGAUGCUAAUUCAUUGCUAGAGACCGAAAGUGUGUUUAAGUUUUAAACCAUUAAGAACUACUCUCAUGAUCAAAACUCAGUACAUAACAAAAACAAAAGAGAACCCCAUAAAUAGAAUAGUUUUUCUAAACUGAAAUUAAAAAACCAAGUGAUUUACCAUCAAGAUCCCAAAUCAUUUGCUUGGCCAUUUGGCUAAAUACCACAGCUCUAUUUUCUGAACCCUUCCAUGAAUUUCAAAAAUAUCAAAUAAAUGAAGUGUGUAACUUACCCUAUACAUACAAUGGCAUUCAAGAGCUCAGUACUUAGAGAAAACUUGCAACUGAGAAGCGUAUGUAACGAUAAUCUCACAUCAAAUUGACAAUAUGAUUCAAUCAGGAGUUGGGGAAGAGUAACAAAUGCAGUUGUCUCAUAAAUGAAUAAAAAUGCUGAGAAUACAAUUUGAUCACGAGAAACCAGGACUCGUGGAGGAACAAUGCUGCAAAUAAUUUAUAUCUCGACCCCGUUAUAAACAAAAUAACAAAAAUCAGGAAAAUGAGAGGUCAAGAUCUAAAGUUGCCAUUGAGAUAAGAUAAGAAAGCAGGAAACAUAUUAUUAACUAAAAGGGUCCACGUCCACCAAUCCAUAACUUGGUCUGCAUAACAAAGCAAAGCAAACGUACAUUGAUCCAGAGUUGUAGCAUGCACUCGUAAGUUCUAAAAAUAGUUAUAUUAUAUCCACUACUAUCAGUUAUAAGCUGCUGUAAACACAAACUUGAUGGUUUUUAGAAACCGUGAAUCUUGAUGUUUUCCUUCUUCACAAUACCAGCCUAUCAAUGCAGAAAAAGAGGAGCAUAUAUCAAAAACGAUUACCGAACAAAUAUUUAAUAUCUAUUUAUAGUCAACCAUUACCUGCACAAGGAAUGUAGACACAUUCUUUCUUUGGUCUCCCUGAAGUUGUAUAACCUGCAGGGCAACAACCGUUACACACGAUGUAAUUGAUUGGCAUGGCAUAUUGUCUGAUAUUCCAGAAUAGGAAACAAAGAAAGAAAAGCAUGUUCAUCCAAGCAGUCCUAAUAUCUUGUUAUAUGCAACAGUACCAAUAACACCAUAUAGAUUCUUGUUCAUGAUAUGUAACCAAACCACAACCCAUAAUGAAAACACUCCCUGCCGAUAGCUUUAUGCCGAAUGAAACCAAUUGACUGCCAACUGACUGGCAGAUCAAACUUCCCAUGAGUUGGUUCUUUAAACUCUUUUUUGCCUAGAUAGAGCAGCAUUGACAUUAUAUUAAUCUUGCACCCUCAAUUGUUCUAACAAUAAUCCCUACACCAACCUUCUCUCCACUUUAUAUAAAAUUGGAAACUAAUUCUUUUAGUUCUAAUGUUCGGUGAAUCAACGAAAAAGGGAGGAGCUAAAUAUAAAUAAUUAAGGGUAGAAGAGGACAACAGACCUGGCCUAGCUCAGGGUCUUGAACAACUGUGCCAUUACAGCAAAAUUCCUUCUUCAGGUCCUUAAGAAUCUUGUUAUAACUAAAUUCCUUCUUCAAUCCUUGAACAGUUGUCAGACUUUUUCUCCCGUUGCGUUGCUGUAUGCGCACAUGAACAUACUCUUUUGCUCCGGCUCCUGAGUCCUCAGCAUUUGCAUCAGCAAAUGGGUCUAACCAUCAAACCAAAUUCAUCAAAGUUAGUUAAAACGAACAUUCAGGCUUCUUAUACAGUACACAACACACUAAAAGUAAAAACAAAGAAGAGGGACUUGUGAAGGUACCAAAAGCAGAUGGAAUCUGCACGUUGAAUUCAGACAUGAAACUUGGCUGUCCGGAGUAGAACACAGGUAACCAGCAAAAGCUUUGAGCUCUUAAAUUCAGCUGCUCUAAACUGCAAAACAUAACAGGCCCACAGAGUUGAGUGUUGAAAGCACAUGGAUACAAAAAAACGCCUAAACUCGUCCAAAAUCAAUAAAAAGAACAUAAUCCACCCACGCCCUACUUUAAAUCUUUGAUCCACUGGAUCCCCACAUCCCACCAUAGACUCCCUUUCAAACAAAGAUCAAAAGAGCACAGCCUCAACAAUUAAAAAAAAAAAAAAAAAACCAAAGUUGAGUCUCUUUUACUAUUAUCUCCAAAUCGAAGAAAACUAAACGAUCUACAAAGGGAUCGAACAAUUAGAGUGAAAAAAAAACCCCAUAUAUCUGCUCCUCUCCAAAAAAACCAGACAACCAAUCAUGUGUUCAACCUAAAUCAUAUGUCUAAACCGUUUGUUUCUUAAAAUCACAAGGCGCAUAAAGGACAGAAACCACGCAAUCGAACAGAAUAACAAUCAAACAAGGUAUCAAGUCAUCAAUCCGAAAACAUGAAAACACUUACACCCCCGGAAAGCAAACGGAUCUUGUGGUUCGAUCCCAGAAACAGAAAAGAGGAAUGAAUACAAGCAACAACAAAAAAAGAAAAAAAGAAAAAAAGAAAAGAAACCCUAACCCAAAAAAUGAAAAGUAUGAAGAAAGAAAUAGGUUGAAAAAGAAAAGAAAAGAAAAAGGAAAUAAAUUAUGGAUGAAUGAAAAUGAAAAAUAGAAGGAUGAACAAGAAUUUUUACCAGGAGAAAAAGGUGUGAAUCCGAAGAAGAAGAGACGUAAAAGCAAAGGAUGGAAGUCAAAAGGAAGGUUAUAUGUGUGAGAGAAAUUUUGCAAGCCACACAAACCUCUAUUAUAUCGAUAUUAGUCGGUUUUGGAUUUUCUUUUCACGGUCCAGAUGACACAACAAUCAACUUCAUCCGACGGCUCAUCAUCUUUGUCCUAAAACGACGUCAUUUUCUUCCUUUUUCUAAAUUUAAUAUAUUAUCCUCCAUUAUUAGCGUGGAAUAGACGUAGUGCUACAUUCUGCUCGAUCAAAUCCGAACCCAGCAAAAGAAACACACAGAUCUACCAACCAAUCAGCUGGGUUGGUUCGGUUUGGUUUUUACAUAGUUGAUCGAACCAAAUUUUAAAAUAUUAUCUUCCAAUAUUUUACUUUAACUCACAUCUCUAUCUAUCUAAACAGAUUUUCCUAAAAUUUAUCUUUUAUCUUCGUCUCUUUCUUAUUAUAUUAAAAAGCAGAUUUGUAGCUUUUCCCUAUUGCCCUUCACACCAAUAAUGAAUCACGUUCCUAUAUUUUUCUUUUAAAAACUCUUCUUGGAUUCAACUUCCUUCCUUGUGAUCAUAGUAAAACUUUUUCCAAAUCAAUCCAUGAAUAAAAAAUAUACAAAAUAAAAAGAUUGUCUUUCUCAAGUAAUUCUUUGAAAUUUGUCCCAUUUUGAUGCUUCACAUGGAAUUGGAUGUCAAUUUUCUUUCUUCCACUUUGAUUUGAUGCCAGUGGAAUACAAUUCAUUUUCACAAGGAACUGCUUUUGAAGAUGCAACCGCUCUCCAACCAUUUAAGUUUGAGAUUUUUUUUAGAAAAGCAUAGUAUUUGUUUGGCACGUUAGAUUUGGUUUGUUUAAAAUAUGUGUACAUUUGGCUUCUUUCACUUAUAUAUUUUUCUUAAAUAUACAUCUGAUUUUUGGAGCAAAAUAAACUUUUGGUUCAUUAUAUAUAUUUAAGGUUGUUGUUUAUUUUCUUAAUAAUUUGGUUUCUAAAAUUUUAAAAAUACAUUUUAAUAUCUAAGUUUGAAAAAGUGAUAUUAAUUUUUUAUAUGUUUUUUCGCACCGUCAAAUAUCUACUCUUUUAUGGAACCAAUCAAUUCUGACACUCAAUUUCAACCCCAAAAUGAUUUGGGAAGAACGCAUUCAAGUUAGCAAAAAGAAAAAAAAAAUGAUAGGAGAGGAAUGAAGAGAGAAGGAGAGGUUGUGAAGUUUGAAAGGAAAACAGAGGAAUUUCAACACAAUUUUGUUGUAUGAAAAUUCUUUUCUUUAACUAAAGGCAGUACGUGUAAUUCUAUAACCACGGAUCAUUUUGAGAACUGUUUUCUAAAUUUCGUUGAUUAAAUUUUACUACCACAUAAAGUGUAUUUUAUUCAUUUGAUUUCUUUCACCUAUAUGUAUUUAAUAGUAAAAUGGCACAAAAUUUGAAGAUGGUUCAUUUUUAGAUAUACUUCUAUUUUAUCCUUUAAAUAAAACUUGCAUUCAAGGCCAAAUCACAAAGUGGACAAUCAAAAUACACUUUUUUUAAAAACUAAAAUCACUCUUUUUUGUAGCUACCUUCUACGUACGAAACAUAUAAAUAUACACAAAAUUUUAUAUUAUGACAUAUUUGACGAUGAAAAAAGGUAUAUCUUAUUUUUCUAUAUUUUAAUUUGGAUACAUGUUUCAAAAUAUAUCAAACUUUUUAUGGAAGACAUUUUUUAGAAUUAAAAAUGUUUCAUAAGGUAUGUCAUCUAUAUUUUUUAUUUUCGUGUAUAUACAUUUGUUUGCAUUAUGUUCUUUUUCUAUAAUUAUUAAAUUCUAUUUUUUUGUUAACAGAAGCAAAAAAAUUUAGUUAAACAAAUAUUUUUUAAAGAUUUUAAGAAGAAAAAAAAACAUGAUGAUUAUUUGGGAGGCUUUUAAGUCUUUUUAAAUUAUUGAUUAGGCUAUUUUAAUAACAUCAAAGUAUUAUUCACUUAAUAUAAUCAUCUUAUUAAAUAUUUGUUAAUAAAGAAAUCACAAUCUAAGGUUUAUAUAUAUGCUUAUGAUUGACUGUAAACUUUUGGAGGGAUUUCAAAGGUAAAUAAAUUUUUUGGAAAAGAAAUUUAGAUAAUAAUUUUUAUCUUAGGUUGCAGAUAAACCAUAAAACAUAUGAAAAUUGCAUCAAUUUAUGCAUAAAAAAAUCGUAUAUGAAUUAGUUCCGAUUCCUAAGGUGGUUAAUUCAUUCUAUUGGUGUGAAAAAUCAUAUCAUCUAAUAUCAAAUAUUGAAUAAUGGAAUAAUACACUUCAAUGUCAUGAGAAAUCAUAAUUAUGAUAAGACGAAUGUUCUUAUACCUUUACUACCUUAUUGUUUUAUUUUUCUAAAUAAGAUUUUAGAGGAGAAUUAAACACGUGUCAUGUUUUUAUUUGAGAAUUAGUAUACAAUAAUGAUUAAAUUUAUUCUCAUAAAUCUAAUUGAGAUGAUCUAAUUUGUUGUGAAAAGAAGGAAGAAUUAGACCUUUUAACCUAGUACUGUAAACAAGAAUUCGGGUUGUACUAUAACAAUCUAUAAAGUAUUUUAAAAUAACUUUAACUUAAUUUCACUUUGAAAUCCUGUUGAUUCAUGAGGUUAGUCAAUAGACAAGAAAGUAUCAAAUAAUCGCAUCAUUUUAAAAAUCUAGAAACCAAAUACAUUUUAAAAUUUAUAGAUCAAAUAUACGAAUCCUUUCCGAUUAACUACAUAAAUUUUGUAUUAAAAUAAUAUAUUAUGAGAAGGUAGGGAUGCAUUUGGACAUUAGAAUAGAGAUCAUAUUGAUGAAAAAAUGUGGUUAGGGUACAAUAUAUAUAAAGAAAAAAGAAAGAUAAUUAGAGGUAGAUUUAGAUUGUAUUAUUAAUUAGGAAUUGAAUACAAUAUAUAUAUAGAAAAACAAUUUAUGUGAAGAACAUAAAUCCCGGAACACCACACACCACACCCAUUUCCAAUCUUCAACCUAACCACCGAAAAUGCAGCAAUUAUGAACAAAUUUACCCAUCCUUUAAUUUUUCACUUUCUUCUCUUCCUACUAUUAUCACUAAAAAUAUUAAUUAUGUCAAUAUUAUUAUUCCAUCAUAAUUAAUUUUAAAUCGUAUGUGGCGGAUGUGAUGAAGUUGGUGGUGCAAAAUUUGACUGGCUCUUUGUUCUUCGUGGAGGUUGAAGACGAUGCCACUGUUUCUGAUCUUAGAACUCAAAUCAAUGCUCAUCCUCACCAACACAACCUCCCUUCUCACCGUUUGAUCUUCAUUCCCGACCACAAUCCCGAACGUCUCAUCUCCCAGGUCGAUGAUGGAAUCUCACUCGUUGAUUUUGGCUUACGUGAUGGCUCCCACAUUUACAUCUUUUUCUCUCCCCUUCAUGACGACGAUGGUGAUGACAUUGAAGCUCGCCGAUUCUUCUUUACUUCUUCUUCCGAUCUUCUUCUCUUCUAAACUUCUAUUAUCAUCAUCAUUCUAGUAACCCCCACCCCCGCCUUUCUCCUCUUUGUAUGAUCUAUGAAAAUUAGGGUUUUUUCUUUUCCUUUUUCAGAUAUUGUAUUUAUAAUUUUCAACUCAUUUUUGUACUACAUCAUACACAAUUAAUUCUUUAUUCAUCGGUUGAAUUAUUGUGGGGGUGAAGGUAUGAGAAGUUACGUUUUGUUUUAAUGUUAUUUAACACACCAAUAUGUCAAUUUGGUUACUCUAUAGGAAUUUUUGUCCAAUAUUUCACAUGGUUUUGUUUUGUUUUUUCGUUUUUGAAUAAAAACAACCCAAAUAAAUUUUAAAAAGAAAAUCAACAAACAUAAUGCUAAUCCACUGAUCAUCUAACGAUCGAAAAUGGUGAAAAUUAUUUGAGCAUUCAUGAUUCAAAUCUCCCUAAUAAAAAAACAUUGAUUAUUUUAUACAAAAUUUCCAUACAAUUAUAAAUAAAAUCAUUAAUUUAUGAAAUGAAUUGAGGGAAUAAAAUUGUAAAUCACUCUUUCUAUCUAUAAUAUCUUUUAAACCACUUUCCAUUUAUGAAUUUAAACUAGUUGUCUUUUUAGUCUCAUAAAUAUAAUAAAACAAGAAAACAAAACUAGUAAAUAUAGGAAUUAAAAAAAAAAAGUGUUAUAUUAUUUUAGUUAGCUAUCUCAUUCUCAUCAUAUAUUUAUUUAUACAAAUGUCUUUAUCAAUAAAAUUCACCACGGCUAACGGUGCCUUUAAAAACAUAAAGAAAAUCGCCAUUUUCAACCCCAUGCCAUCUUAAACUACGCUUAUCUCUCAUAAUCCUUUGUUUAUGAAUAAACAAAUACUCAUCGUCCGGAAGAAUUUUUCCGGACAAAAGCAGUUCUCUGACGUCGUUCACGGUGCUCGAAUCCUUCAUUUCCAUUGGAAUGCACGCUGCAUUAAGCAAGCUCGACGACAUCUCCACCACGAAACUCACCUUCCUCCUUGAAGAAUCUUCGCUCAAAUAACGACUCAUCGUUUUCAUAAACACAAUCACUUCCGAAAAUUCACCGAUUCCGAAUUCGCUUAGGUUCUGGCAAUCCUCGACUAGUUCCAUACCGGAGUGAAAUAGCGACAUUGUUUGAAUCGGUAAGCUGUAGAUUAUCUGGAUUUUCUGCUUUAAACUAUGAACCGUCUCUGUUUUGUCGAUGUUUAUGUUUAUCCGUUGGCCGGAGAAUUCCACAGCGAUCGGAAACUCGUUUGAUGGUGCGAUGAUUUGGUCGACUGAGAGAUCGAUUCGCGAACCUUCUGUGAUGAAUUGAUCGUAAUCCUCCAUGACGAGUCCAUCGAGUAACUCGCAACCAUAAACAGAGAGAGUUUGGGAUUCGAUGGGGAUGCCAAUGAAUUGUUCAAUUUUUCUCUUGAUUUCGAUGAUUUGUUCUUGAUUUUCUAUAUCUAUGGGGAAUUCGUGUCCCAUUGUGACAAUGAAGAUCUUCAUUGGAGUUCUCUGGUUAGGGGUUUUUUUUUUUCCUUCCUAUUCCGUUCUUGAGAUUUGGGGGAAAUUUGGUUGUUGAAAGUGGAGAUUUUAUUGUUGGAAUUCAUGCAGAAACGAUGCUCGAUUCUUUUGAAGAGCGUGAUUGAUUUCAACUGACAGCAGAUCGAUUCUUGUGAUGAUGCCACUGAAGAUGAGAAACAGUUUUCUCUUUUCUUUUCUAUUUUUCUUCUUGGUUUAAUUUCACUCUUCGUAAUAUCAACGUUCAAUAAUUCAUGAUGCAUAACUUAACUUUACUGUUUGUGUUAAAAAAAAAAUUUCAAGAAAUUGAAACUUGAGUUUGUUAUUUCUAAAGUUACUCUACGAUUUUUGAAAAUGUUUUCUUUAAAACAUAGAGAAGAGAAAAGCAAUGAGGUUUUUUUCUUUUAUCUUAUUUUCCCUUUGAAUACACAUAUAUAAUAUUGAGAAAACAAAACCCUUAAAAUUAAAAAAACUAAAGAGGCUAUAUUUGCCCCCAACUAAUUUAACAAAAUAUAUAAAUUAUCCCAUCAAUAUUAAGAUUGAUGAUACCUCGAUUAUAUAAAGAACUUAGAGUUGUAAGAGGACUCGUCAACAUAAUUUAAUGACAUUUUCCUUUCUAGACAAUUGAAGAUAUAAUCAUAUAUUUUAAACAUGUUAUUAAAAAUAUACUAAACAAAUUAAAAUAGUAAUAAUAAUAAUUAAGAGAAGUUAAAAUUACUAAAAAAAUUAAUAAUAAUAACACUUGAAUAACACACUUUGGUAAUUGAACAAAAAAAAAAUCAUGUUUAUGACAAAAGAAAAAAAACAAGAAUUUGUUCGAUUACAAAUUAAAUUUUGAAACUUAACGGAUAAUUUUCAAUUGUAAAUUAGUUGUUGUUAUUAAUUUUAGAGUAAGCUUCAACUUUUUUUAAUUAUUAUUAUUAUUUUUUAAUGUAUUUUUUAAUAACAUAUUUGGUUAAUAUAUGUGUUUUUUUAAACAGAAAAUUAGAAAAAAAAAUAUAAUUUUGGUUAAGAAAUAAUUAAAUUAAAUUAGAAAAGAUGAAUUAAUAAGAAAAUUUGAAGAAUGAGAUAUUUAAUAUAUAUACAUAAAUAUUAUUAUUUCUAUUUUUAUUUGUUUAAUAUAUUUUUAAUAACAUAUUUUUGUUAAUAUAUGAGUUUUUUAAAAAAAAUUAAAAAUUGGAAAAAAGAUGUGUAAUUUUGAUUAAGAAAAAAUUAAAUUAAAGUAGGAAAAUAAAAAAUAAUUUAAUUUAAUAAAGAAAUAUAUUUUUAGAAUUUGAAUGUUCGAUAUAUAUAUUAUAUUAUAUGUUGGUAUGUAUAUAUAAGUAAUGGGAAAAAGUGAAAUGUGUGAAACCCACGUAUAUAAAUAAUGAAAAAAUAAAAAAUGUGGGGUCGUGGGAUCCACUGCAUGGAAGUCGUAUAGACCGUACACGAUUUCACCUUAAAUCACCUAUUUUUAAAAGUAAUUUUGUACCCACCCUAUUUUUUAUAUAUGUUUCAAAUUUUACAUUAUUUUUAUAAUAGAAUCAUAUCUAACAUACGAGAACAUAUCAUUUAAUCAGAUUUAACACAAUUUAUAAAAAAAUUAACUACAUUAAAUUACAUGACUUUUAGAAAAUAAACAUUUAUGACUCCCCUAAACCAUACUCUAUCUAGGUUGCCCCUAGAUCAUAUGACUCACAGUGAAUUCAAAUGCAACUUUUCUCUUUAUUAAUAAAUAUUAACUAACACAACAAUCAAAUCCAACUUCUUAUUUUUAUUAGUAAAUAUUAACCUAACAUAACAAUCAAAUCUAACCUCUUACAUCUUUAUUAAUAAAUAUUAACAAAAAAUACAUCCUCUUAUAGUUAUUAAUAAAUAUUAACUAUAAGGAUUUGAUUUGAUGCUUCAAUUUUGUCUUUAAUAAAAUAUCGACCCAAUCAACGAGUGUAGCUCUAUUACAUAGUCCAACUCCACCAUUAAAGGCAAAUGCACUUGCAAAAGUCAAGUUUUGUACAUGAAAUUUUAUAAAGAAUUAUUGAGAUUGACGUUCACUUUAUGUACAUGAGAAGGUAGUAAAUGGGCACUUGACGUUCACUUUGUACAUGACAAGGUACUAAAUGGACACUUGAAAUCUGCUAUAUGUUCCAUAAAGCAAUAAACUCAUUGCUUGUACAACAACGUCCAUGACACAUUCACAGUAUCAAUACAUUAGAACCAAACUCGGUGUGGUUGAAGCAUUCUCAAUAUCGCGUUGAGGGGGUAUUAAGGAAGAAUUCACACACACAAUCAGCACAAGCAAAGGUCAACAUUAUAGUCGACAAAGCCAAAAGCACAAUCAGCACAUUCCAUGAGUACGAUCCACUACAUUCGAAAAUAAUCGAAAAGCUUCCAUUAGUUAGAAAGAAAUUGACAAAAGUAGUACACUAUCGAUUUUUGUUUUUAAAAGUAGCCCAUUUCUGAAAUUAUAUAAUAGUAAAGUAGAGACAUUUUAAUAUUCCAACUUGAAUCGAAGGUUAAGGAAAUAUAUAAAUUAGACGUGUGAUUUAAUUUAAUUAAUUUUGUUUUUUUUUUUGGAAAGGUGAGUUUUGGGAGGAGAUAUUAUAAUUUAGUACUCUCUGAUAAGAAUUAUAAUAUAUACUUGACCCUCCUUCAUUCAACGAAAAAUAUACAAAAUAAUACUCCUUAUCAGUAAAAUGCAAAGCACUAUUUGAAAAACACUAAUACUAAUAUUCUUAACCAAAAUUGAAUCUCAAAAUAAAUUAAAUAAUCUAUACUAACUAUACUCUAUUUUAAUUAUAAAAAACCUAUUACAAGAAUAAAUUAUUCUUUAAAUACAUCCAUUUUACCUUUACAUCUUUGAUAUGGAUUUUUGUAAUUUGAAAAAGAAUAGAAGAUGAAAAAUGAUUUUGAUCUGAAAGGUCAAUAAAGAAGUUGGAAGAUUUAGUUACCUCUCACACACACAACUAUAAUGAUAUAUUUACAAUAGAUUUAACUUAGGAUUUAACCGAACCCUUCAAUGAUUAAGAUAUUAUUCGUUUUUUCUAAUACCAAACAAGGUACAGAAAAUUCACCCACACCUCAAGUCAAAGUAGUAUAAUUAUCUCAAAUACGAAUAUGAGUUAGAUCAUAGGUAUUAAACAGUUGACAAUCACACAUUGUAGUAAUUUUAUCUUCGAAUAACUACAAUGGUUUGUGAUUGUAAAUCUUUUUUAAUUUUGUUUCUAUGUAUAGUAUAAUAAUCUAAAAAUUUCAUGUGCCCAUCCCACGUUAUGGAUCAGUAACAAUAAAACAAAAAAGAAAGAAAGAAAACAAUCAAACGAAACAUACAUCAUCUAAGAAUGUUUUAUAAUCAAAUAACAUAAUUAAUGAAUUUAAAACAGUAGUUUCUAUCUAAACCGAAUGUCAACCCUUUGAUCCAUUAUUAGACAUUUUCUUACUUGAAUUUUGUAAUAAAUAAUCACCAACUUGAUUACGUGCCAUGCAGAAUUUUUUUAAAAAAAACUCUCACCCUCUAAUGAUUUUCUCAAUUACUCCACACACACUUCUGUUGAUUAAAUUAAUCCCAUUAUUAAAAAAGUUUCCUCCGAAAAAAGUUAAAAAGAAAUUGAUCAUAAUAUCGAGCUGUUUAUUGGCUAAGUUUGUACGUGCCAAUAUUGUUAGUUAAUAUGUUUUCUCAGCACUUCUUCGCAGUACUGUGGCUUUGAUCCAUUCUCAUAGCUGACCAAACACAACUUAAUUCUCAUUAUUGCUAAUUAGGUUUAUCAAUAAUUCCACAUUCUAUUUUAUAACAAUAAAAUGUUUGGAUUAAGCUUGUUUGAUUAUAACCAACUUGGUUUUUAAAUAUAUCAAGCUUUAUAUAGAUAGUACUUCCAAUUGUUUUUUAAAUAAAAUUAAUUAGAGUAGUUUUUUUUUAAAAAAAAAUUGACUAAAAGUCAAUUAUUUAAUUCAAAAUGUGAAAACAAACUAAAAAAGAUUUUUCAGAAGAAUGGCCUAGUUAUUAUUGUUUUAGAAAAUAGAAACAAAAUAUAUAAAAUUCAUUUGUAUGUUGCUAUAACUAAUACAAAAAUGUACGUUAAAUAUAAGAAAUAGAUAAAAAAAAAAAAAACUAUAUGUGAAUCUCAUUCAAAUGUUCAAGAUAACUAAGAGCGAAGAGGUUUGGUAUUCGAAUUUUUUAGGUACCCAUAUGGUCAAGUUGAAAAAAGAAAAUCUUAUUCGAUAAAAUAUCACUUUUCUUUGUUUUAUUUGUAAGAAUGUUAAUUAACUUUGUUUAUUCAUAUAGUUGCUUGCUUUCUUUUAUAUUGUACCAAAAAAAAAUUAAUUCGAAGAUGACGUAAGUUAUUUUAAUUGGUUGUUUUUUUUUUGUUGAUUUUUUCUUAUAAAUAUAACACAAAAAACUAAAUAACUUAAAGAUAUAUAAACGAACCUUAGGGGAAAAAAAAGGUAAAUAACUGAAUAACAAGUGAAGUAUAUAAACCAUAGCAAAGAUUUUUUUUUUUUAUAUAUAUAUUUUUCUAAAGGAAUGUCUAAAAGUCAAAAAUGUUAUUUUAGUUAAAGUCACUUAGCUUCCAACGAAUCAAAAUUAAAUUAAAUUAUAAAAGAACCUCUAGAGAUCAGAAGAAAAGUCAUAUAUGACAGAUUGUAAUUCAUGAACUGUUCAAACUUCAAACACUAAAAUUUCCACUAUAAAAAACCCAACCAUCUUUGAAUGCAAUCAUCAUUAUAUCUCAAAACAUCAUUUAAGUGUCUAUCCAAAGCCAUAUUUUGUCUUCUUUUCUUCGUAUAGAAUUACCAUGGCCAUUACUCCAAAGCUUUUCUUCCUUCUCCUUUUGCAGCUAAUAUUUGUAUCAACAUCUCUCUCAAACAUCGCCAGAGCAAAUGAGUUGGCGGUUGGGUUUUACAAGAAUUGCUGCCCUGGGGUGGAGUAUAUCGUCGCCAAGACGGUGGCUCAAUAUGUUAAGAAACAACCAGCAAUAGCUGCUUCUUUGUUGAGGAUACACUUCCAUGACUGCUUUGUUAGGGUAUAUAAGUAACUAUAUACUUUUUGUUUUUUUGACAAUGAAUUGGCAGUGACAAGGAACACUAAGACACUUUUAUUUAUAUAUAUAUAUAUAUAUAUAUAUAUUGAUACUUUUAUUUAUCUAAAUUUAUUACCAUUAAAAAAUGAGAAAGUUAAAUAAGAGAAAACUCACUUGAUUGAUCUGAUAAUUAUUUGAUAGGGAUGUGAUGGUUCAGUGCUGCUAAAUUCCGGACCAAAUAACCAAGCUGAGAAAGAUGCCAUUCCCAACCUUAGUUUAAGAGGUUAUAAUGUUGUUGAUGCCGUUAAAGCUGCCGUUGAAAAGCAAUGUCCUGGUGUUGUUUCUUGUGCUGACAUCCUUGCUUUGAUAGCUCGUGAUGCUGUUAGAAUGGUAAUUUACAAAUUUAUAUAAAGGUUCUUUAUUUUUUUAAUUUUAAAAUGUUGAUCUAAAACUAUAACUUUAGACACGAACCACAAAUAAUGAUAUUGAAUGUUAAUUUUUUUAAGAAAUAAGACUUAGAAAAAGAUGUGAGCUGUGAUGAUUUGAAAUCCUAACAACUUUAAUUUCUAUAGAGAUCAUGAAGGAGUGAGUUUGCAUGUUAAUGUAAAAUCUAAAAAAUGGAUGUUGGAAAAUCCCAAUACUCUACUAUUAAGCAAUUAUUAACAACUUAUAAUAUUAAGCAAUUAUUUCUAGAAGUUUACUUUAAAAAAAAAAUAGUUUUUUUUUUAUAAAAAAACAAUGUUAAUUAAAUAUGUUGACGUAGGAGAAUAUUUAUAAUUAUUUAGAAUUGAAAAGAGAAAAUUUAUUUAGUUAUUUAUUAUUAAUUUGAAAAUAGAGUGGAGGCCCAGCUUGGGAAGUUCCAACGGGAAGAAGAGACGGAACUGUAUCAAUCUCACGAGAAGCAUUGAUUAAUCUGCCUCCUCCUUUCGCUAAUAUCUCUUCUCUCAAAUCAAGUUUCCAAUCCAAAGGUCUCUCCCUCAAAGAUCUUGUCGUUCUAUCCGGUAAGUUCUUUCUUCAACACUCUCAAUGAUUUACAAUUUCCUUUCGAUAUGAUUACGUUGAUUUUAACACACUUCAAUUUGAUCUUCAGGAGCACAUACAAUCGGAGUCUCUCACUGUACCUCUUUCUCCAAUCGCCUCUACAAUUUCACCGGCAAAGGCGACGCCGAUCCCAAACUAGACAAAUACUACGCGGCCGCACUCAAGAUCAAAUGCAAACCAAAUGACCAAAAAAAAAUCGUCGAGAUGGAUCCUGGAAGCUUCAAGACCUUCGAUCAAAGUUAUUACACACUCGUUUCCAAGAGAAGAGGAUUGUUCCAGUCUGAUUCCGCUCUUCUCGACGAUCCUGAUACUAAAGCCUACGUUCAGUUUCAGUCUAGUACACGUGGCUCUACUUUCGCCGCCGAUUUCGCUAAAUCCAUGAUUAAUAUGGGGAAUAUCGGCGUUCUCACCGGUACCGACGGUGAAAUUAGGCGCCGGUGUGGUUUUGUUAACUGAAUUAUUGGGGAAAGGAAAUGGGUGAAGCGUUCUUUGCAGUUUGUGAAGCUUUUUCUUUGUGCAUUUUGAUUUGAUUCGAAUUGUGAGCUGAGUUUCAUGUUUUCGCUCUCUGUGGAAAACAACGUACGGUCCUGAUUUAAAUCUUCAGUUAUCUUUUGUCCUUUCUUUGAAAUACGUGUUAUCAUCUUAUCAUGUGAUUAAAUCCAAUUUAUUCAAUUUCUUAAAUGAAGUUCAAAUCUUGAGUUCUUCUAUUUUUAAAUAUGGAGGGUCUAAUUAUAAUAAAUUGUUCUUUAAAAUAAUUUAAAAUUUUUAAAUAUAAGUAUAAAUGUUGAUAUACUUUGUUACAAUAUUAUCAUUCAUUAAUGAUAGACGUUAGUAGAUAUUCAUACAUGUCUAUCAAUAUUUAUGGCUACUUAUUAAUGACAAAUUGAAAAAUCAUUUUAUAGUUGUAAUUAUUUUCUAACAAUUUUUUCAUUUAAAACAAUAUUAGUAAAAACUGCUUUGAUUGAUUGAGAUGAUAAAAAAAGUUGACAACGUAUAAUAAAUAUGAACAUCGAUACCAAUGAUAUGAAAUUUAAUUUACAACACUAUCAUCUCUUAUAUUUUGGUUAAAUCUCGCUUUGAUGUUCUAUCAACGUGUAUAUGUAAAUGAUUUGUAUUGACAAAAAAAUUAAACUCAACAAUUGUUUAAAAUUGUUUAGUGUUACACACACAUAUAAUUUAUGUAGAGACUAAAACAACUAAUCUAAAUAUAUAUAAACUUUAAGAUAUAUCUUCAUUCAAAAUGUUAAGAGUUGAAUCCAAAUAAUAUUCUUCCAACUACUUACGAUAACUACCUAAAUUAUGUAAGAAAAUAUAGAGAUAUUUUGUAUGAAACAAAUAAUUAUUAUAUCACUAUAGCUUUAUUCAUAAUUUUAUAUUGAUAUUGCAUAAUCCAUAUAUGAUUAAAUUUUAGUACACACCUCCCCAACUUAAGUAUAAGUAAAAUAUUAAUUCAAUUAUUUUACUUAAAAUGUUAAAGAGUACUAUUAAAUUAAUUUUGUAUUGGGUUUUAAUAAUUGAAAUCAUUUAUAUGGAGAAGAACGUAAAUCGCUAUUUGGGCAUGAAUUGUAUAUAAGAUUUUUUGAAUAUGGAGAAGCUAAAAUUUAGAAUACUAAGCGACAAAACGAGAAAAAAAGAAAAACUCCAAUUAUCCGUACACUUAAAAACCCGCCAUUGCUUUGCGAGGAAGGAAGAAAGAAGAGAGCGAGAAAAAGAAAAAAGAAAAAAGAAAAAAGAAAAAAGAAAACACAAAGCAGCAACAAAAAAGAGGAGAAAUAAAACCCCUACGGUGUUCGUCCAAGCGGUCGGCGUUUUGCUUCGGAUAGUUCAUGAAGUUCAACUCGUGCAAUUUUACAAGCCGUCCAAUCUGUUCUAUUCUACUGUUUUCUGCGUGUUUCCUGAUUAUUAUCAAAUCUCUAUAAACGGAUUUCAUCGUCUGAACUACUCCAAUUUGGUUCCACAUCUAUUCUUUCUGAUUCGUCCUUGCAUUUACAAACCGGGAUUACUGCGACUUCCAAUACAUACGUCUUCUCUGUUUUUGUUCAUGUUCAUCCAUGAUGGUUGGCCGUAAACUCUUCAAAACAAAGCUAUGUGUUCUCUAUCAGAAAGGUUACUGUUCUCGCCCAAGUUGCUCCUUCGCUCACGGAAACGCUGAACUCAGGCGAUUUGCUGCUCCUUCUAUCGGUAAUUUGCCCCUUAUAACUCCACUUUCGUCUCGUCUUCUCUAAUUUUGGGCUUUAGGGUUGAUGAAAUGGAAAUUUGCUAAUCCUUGUCGUUUAUGUCUUUAUUCCUCAUCUCUGAUUGGAAUUGGUUUUGGUUACGCGUCGUUGAUUAUUCUUACAUUCAACGCGAACAGUGGCAUAGUGAUGGUAUUAUGUUUUUGCGUUUUUUUUUCUUAGUAUUGGUGUGAUUCAAGGGAUCUGAGUUUAUUUGCUUGGGAGAGGUAUAGACUAAUUUUGGACUGAUGGUGUUUUUUUCUUCCUUUAUGGUCUUCUUGUUAUUAUCAAUGUUGAGGACUUAAUUUAUUGCAUUUUUUUUCUCCUAUUAAUCUCUGGUCGUCGUACUCUUUCUUCUUUCUGUCUGUUAUUGAUUCUUCCUUAUGGUGCAUUGUGAGGGAGGGGCCGUGCAUCUUUAAAAUGGGCUAGCGCUAGACAUUAAUUACUAGGUUCUUUCGGUUAAUCAUUGAAACUAUUCUGUCUGCUGUGUAUUUAUAGCUAUACGAACACAAUCCCCCUCAUCUAUGGCUCUGUGGUUUGGUAUCUUGUUGCUUGCUAUCUUCGAUAUUUAAAUUGGUUCUGCUCAAGUCGUCACAUGAGACUCCACGCCUCUACCAAUGGAUAUUUAUUAUAGAUGGACGUUGAAUGAUUCCAAUAAUGCGAGAUGUAAAAAAUUUCUCCAAACUUGCAUGGUUACCGAAGUGGCUAGUAAAAAAUAAUAGUCCAGAUCAGACGAUUUUCAUUGGACUGGCAAUGGAUAUGGUGGAUUUUUUCUCUAUUGAGCUGCCCUGUGGUAUAUCUCUGGAGAUGUUUAUGGCCCUUGUGCUGCAUCAGCUAAUCCAGAAAGUACUUGUUGAAGAUUAUAAUUAUUUUCCAAAAUUUAUACAUCUCCCCCAGUUUUCGUUUAAUUAUCCCAUUACGAUCUUCUGGGUUAUGCUACCGUUGUUCAUGGGGCUUCCUUUUUCUUAGGAGAGGUUCUUCAUUUCUUUAUGCCUCCUGAGUAUGCCAAAGGACUUCCUCUUGGAGUAAUGCAAUUUUUAUGGGAGUAUUGCAUGAAGAAUCAAAUUUGAAUCUAUAUCAUUGGUCUGUACUUGUAUGAUUGUGUGGAAACUCAGAGAUAUCUCCCUUUUGGAUCAAUGUUACGUGAACUUAUUGUUCAGCAUGGUCACGGGAGUGAAAUCCUUCCUUCUAUUCUCGAUAUGAAGGUUAUCCCAUGGUUUAUUGUUGGGCAUGGAUUUUUCUAUAUCUUUUCAUUAUUUCUGUGGAUCUUUUGGAACUGGCAUGGCGGCACUCUUACUGUUCCUUAUUUUGUUUCUCAUCUUUUCCAUGUAAUGGUAAGAUAAGCCUUGUAAGAACUUCAUUGAUUCAUUAAUUGCUUUUUAGAAAUAAUAUGUUGCAGCAACUAACUUGGUAAAAUGAAUUUUCCCCAUCUUUGCAGGUAGAACGGAAUAUAGAGGAAAUGAUUUAAGGCAUAAGCUUGACAGCAGGCAUUCUCCCCUACAGGAAAGGGAUUCUAGAGGGCGACAUGUACCUCGUGGUAACGAAGUCACGUGUUUUUCUUUUUGAUCUUUCAUUGUUUACUUUUUUUUAUUAAGGAAUUGUAGGAAGCUAGGUUCUCAACACACAUGCACACUUAUGUUUAAAAGAAUAUAUGGACUGCAUAAUUCUUUUACAUGUUAUAAUAGCAAAGUUCUUCCCUGAUUUCUUUCAUUUUGUAAUUGAAAUUGCAGAGUAUAGCUCAUCUUGGUCACUCGAACGGCAUAGGUAUACUGUCACAACUCUUGUAUGGUAUUCUCAAGUUAUUUUUGAAUUAGUUCUAGCAAAGGAAGGGUAGGAAGUGAUUCUGUGAUGGAAUUAUGUAUCAAGGGACAAAUUUUUAUUUGAAGUCCUUGCAAGGUAUGUUUAUGAGAUUUUUCUCACAGGAAAAUGGUCAUAUGAUACUGACGACUUUUUUCCUACAAGAGUACUUGUCUAUCUGUUUAAUAAGAGAUUACUUCCAGUGCCUGAUUCUAUUAUUUCUUAGCCUUACUUCUAGUUUUUAGGUUUGAAGGCCUUAUGUGCUGUAAUAUUUGUAUGGCCCGAGUUCUAUAUUCUACACCCAGUUAUCUUUUCAUGAGUACUGGCAUAAAAAAUUACUUCUUAGAAUAGUUUACCGGUGGAUACUUUGAAAUGGUACACACUCUUGUUUCAGUGACCGUAAGAGAAGGAAAAAGGAACAUGGGGAUGCCUCUCGCGAUUAUUCUGGAAAUUUGAGGAUUUUAGAUAGGAAUGAAGAACAUGACAGACAAGGGAAAAUCUCAUCUGUUUCUAGAGACACUCUUGAGGGGCAGGUACAGAAAACACUAUUGUUUUCUAACUUAGAUCUUCUGUAUAUUAGAAACGGUUACUCCCUGGAAAUCUUGGUUGACCAUCUUUGAAUUACACAGUUAAACAAGAUUCAGACAGAUAUUGAGAUGGCUGAGCAACGCAAACACCAAGCUGAGGUAGUAUUUUCUCUUUCUUUUAGUUGCUUUCAACCUCUAAUGUUGUGGAGGCAAUAGGUAAUAUAUAUUUCCUUUUUCCGUUCAUGUAUCAAGUGGGGGGAUUCCAAUUUUUUAAAAUUAAUCAACUCUUAAAAUAUUCUCCUUUAAGAUAGUGUUUUAUCAAAUUUUUUACUUGUAAGAGGUUUAAGGUGUUUAGUCAUUGAAACUCUGUGUCAUGUUGGUUGGAGUGAGUUGUACUGCCACUAGUCACAUUGGCACACAUUUUAAUGGGGUUUGUUUUCUCUCUCUCUCUCUCUCUCUCCUCCACACACACACACACACACACACACACACACAAUAGUGAAGGCAAAUGCCAGACAAUAUCAAUGAUGGAACAAAGGAAGAAUAUAUGCUAGCACCAUAACACCAUGGGUGCCUUUGACACAAACACACACACACAUAUUGUAUAAUGAAGGCAAAUGCCGUGGGGAAAUUUACCUUUUUAUACAAUUUGAAUGAUUAAACAAAGGGAGAAUAUACCCUAGCACCAUGGGUUGCCUUUGACAGCUAAGAAUAUCUUUCUGCUCAAAAUCCAUCGCAAUCGCAUCGCCUUAUCAAUUGACAGUGAUUGUUUAUCACUAGAAGGGAGAUUGAAUAAGAAAAUAGGUCUAGCAGAUGUCUUCCUUAAAAUCACAUUAAUCUAGAUUGGAUCCAGAACUUGGGAAAGAAUUACUGUAAAUUAAUGAGACGAUGAAAGGGCAAAAUAUGAUUUAGCACCACUGAAGUUGAUUGACAAUUAGAGUAACUACCAAACUAGGGUCAGAAAUUGUUGGAGGAAGGCCAUAGAAGUUGGAAGCCGUUGAACUUUGUCAACGAGCAACAGAGAUACAAAUGAAGGGGGUCAAGCAUACCAUACAUUCCUAAGCUGAAGUCAAAUUCAUAAACUGGAAGCUAAGAGUUGGGUGAGAUCUGGUUGGAGAUCUUAGAAUGCAGCAUGUAUUACAAUUUCUUCCAAUUUGAUGGCAUUUAACCUAGUUGUAUUAGCACUAGAUUGUCUCAACUUUUUUUAAAAAAAAAAGAGAAAAAAGAAAAAGAAAAAGAAAAUUUAAUGAAUAAAAACUUCAUGAAUGCUGUUGCACAAAAGGGGCUGAGGAUCAUUGAGGCUAUUGCAGUAAAACUCAUGAAUGCUGUCAUGGUUCCAACUAGAACUAGCAAUGAUUGGGAGGUUUUGAUUCUGCUAAGAGGGGAAUAACAUUAUCAUGAUUGAAACCGAAUACGUCUUAGUGAUUGUGAUUGGUAUGGAAGUGUUUUGAUGACAAAUGGACCAAAUGAGGGGUUGAAGGAUUUGGACUUUAGGAGCGCAAUUUGGGUGGGUAACUAGCUGUAGGGUUCAGACUCCUAACUACAAUGAGGGUUACUAAAUGGUGUUUGGUGUCAGAAAUGGUAAGAUUUGUGUCUAUUUUUCUUUUCCUUUUUUUUAAAAAAAGAAAAAUUGAGCAACCCUCAAACUUCCCUACCAUUUUGGUUGAAGCCUUUUGUGGUGCAUGGGCAAGAAGCCAAGAAUAAUGUGAGUGGAAUGAGGUUUAUUUAGAAUGGAUCAGUAAAAAAGAGGUGCAACCUGACUGAUUUCAUUUUUCUAGAUUGUCGUGAUAUUCAUCAAAUCUUUUGAGGCGAAAGUUUGUUAGGUCAGCCUACCCAUGGAGAUGCAUCGAUAUAUAUAAGAUAAUCAAGAAGAUGAAGUUGCUUGGGAAGUCGGACACAGGAGAAUUGGGAAGAAAAUCAUGCACAAGAGGAGGCCAGAUGCUGUAAUUGACAGGGUUACUAAGCUAGACUGUGAGCCAAAUGUUAAAAUCUUGUUAGAAAAAAUGGUCUGAUUCAAUGUUCUUCUGGUGCUUAUAUUAAGAGUCACAAUCCUGUGUUCAUCAACUAGGCAACAAGGCGAUGGGUGGUGCUUAUAUUAAGUGUACUUGUUGGUUAGUUAUGGAGUUGUAAUAAUCAGGAGAAGGCAUGGGUUUGUCAGGUAGGUAGAGAUUAUGGUAACAGUUUUUAGGAGUGAUGUAAUUCAAAGUAGAACUAAUUUCUCAAAUGAAUUCUCUGCCAAUAAUGGCUAAGAGAUGUGGUAUUUAUUAAGGCUUUGUAAGUUUGUUACAAAGUAGUUAUAAGGAAACUGUUUAGGAAACAGUUAAGUAUUUAACUGUUUUAACUAACUACAGCUGUCUUCUACUCUAACUAACUAUAGCUUUCUUUUAGCCUCAUUCCUAUUACAUCAAGGAGAGAAUUCAGCAUCUUGAUUGCAUACUAAAUCUUUGUAGUUACCUAUUUUGCAUUCAGGUUGACCUAAAGGUUAAAAUUGAAAAUUAGAGUAAGUAGUUGAUUCCUUAAUUCCUCUGAGAUGGUUGAAGCUGAAUCUCUCUUACAUGCGAAAGUGCUUUGUGCUGUCUAAUGUCAUGUGUAUUGUUGGCAUUUUGAUCGAGCUAUGCAUUCAAGAUAAUACAUAAAUAGAUUCUUCCAAUGAAAUGAUUCUAUGAAUAUAGAUUGAAGAUAUUAGCAAAAUUUUCUGUCUUUGAAGGUCUACAUGGACGAGAAAAUUCAAGAAGUGGACAGUUUGACUUCUAGAGUUCAAGAACUAGAAUCUCAAUUAUAUAAAGAGAGGCAGGAGUGUAGAAGGUACACGUUGUUGUCAUGUUUCGUGCUGAAGGUGGACACCUGCCUCUUAAUCCUACUUUUGUUGGAUCUUUAAUAUUCAGGAUCAAAUCAAAAAUCAAGAAGUUUGUCAAAGCACAUAAUCGUCACUCAAGAUUACAAGAUGAACUGAGUCGGCAAGUUUACUUGUUCUAUUCUUUUGAUUGCGUUUUCUAAUGGUGAUGAAUUUCAGGGAAUUAUGGUCACUCUUCUAUGUGUAGGUCGCAAGUCCGCCUGCAACAGUUGGGGGAUCAGCUGGGGUCAGAUGUUAAUAAAAUUGGUGCCAAUGAAGAAGACUCAAGUAUCAAUAUUGUGAGCGAUGGAGAGGACCCUGGUUAUCAUGCAUCUGACCCUUUUCAUGACCUUCAAAGAGACACUUCUGCAAGCAAAAGGAAGAUGCAUGAUGUUCAAGAUAUUGCAGAGAACUUAAAACGAGGUGCCUUUUGAAACUUAGUAAUUAAUAAUUUCUUUAUAUAGAUUUGCAAUUUUAAACAAUAAAUUUAUUAGUUUGUCCUCACCCCUAGUAAGCUCUCUUGUUUAUUUCAAGAUGUAUCAAUGCAAUCUUCUUGUUUCUUUAUGGUGGCGGUGGUGAUUCUUUUUUCUUUUUGUGGGGGGUAUAUUUUAAUUACGGUGUUCUUCAUGUUGGAGCCUUUUUACUUCCGUACUUAAUAAUAUAUGUGCGCGUGCUACAUUAGCUGAUUUAGACAAAGGAAAUAAAGAGGCAGUGGGCAGAUUGAGAAGGAACUCUCGGUGGAAUGCCCAUCCUGCCAAAUCAACAUAUAGCAAAAUUAAGAUGGUUGGCAAUGAAAUCAAUGAUCUGAUACCUACAGCAAAUGAAAGCAGGCAAAGGAGGGGAAGGACAUCUAGUAGUGUUUCUUCUGCAGACAAGGUGACUCAUAUUUUUCUAAUUAAUUUUAUUUGUUUUCACAAUUUACUAUGCGCUGUGUCUUUGAGGCGUGGAUGUCUGAUUAGUUAUGAUAUAUGGAGUGCAAAGUCUAUAGGUUAUGGCAGUGUGAAGUGUUCUACUACCUGUUUAAUUUGCUUCUUCCAUAGUUCUUUAACAUUUGUUUCUAUCUUUGUCUGGCAAGAUCAAUUUGAAACCUUCCAUACAUUACAAAUGAUAUUGAUAUAUACUAUUGUUCGUUUAUGCCCUUAAUUCUGAACUCAAAUAUGCAGGUUAGGGGUCUGGAUUCAGGUGUUGCAGUGCCAUUAACCAGCAUGGCUGGCCAUGCAGUGGAUGAGGAAGUUGACAUUGACUUGGAAAUCAACCAUGAAGAGAAAGAACCGAGGGAAAAUUCUAUGGAGGCUGCAUCUGGCAGCCUGCCUUUCCUUCCCCCUCCACCACCACCUCCAAUUCGUGAAUUCAGUCAUUCAAAGGUUAGCAACUUCUCAAAAUUUCACCAACUUUUCGUCAGUUCUCUUGUAAAUACUUUAGGAAAAAAGUGUACCUGUCAUUUUUCUCGUUCAAUCUAUAGAUAUAACUGAAACUUUUUUUUGCACAUCCCAGAUCAAAUCCAAGUUCUAUCUUGAACAUGAAAAAGUUUGAACCAAACCAAUAUUGAAAGCCACGAGUCAUGUUGAAUAUGUUAUAAUGUCUCUUUCAUCAAUCUUUUAACACCUAUUGUUUAUAUCAUCUAACAUGAGAUUUGGAUUGCAGUAUGAAGGUGAAGAUCAAAAUGUAGAUGUGGAGGUGGUCGAUGAAGAAAAGGAAUACAUGGACGAAGCUUAACAUUGGGUGAUGCUGCUGUAGAGGUUAGAACAACUCUUAGUAUAGUGAAAGUAUUGGUUUACUUAGAGAGUUUCGCAGAAUGAGGUUCUUGUUAAACACAAUUCUACUUUCCAGUUUUAUUAGAAAUCAGAUAUCGGCAAACCUUCCCUCGUUCUAUUUCUUCUUGGCAGAUUUUGAUUGCUAUCUUUCGAAUUAUUUUGGCGAAGCAACACAUUGUGCACUGAUUUACUUGUUGUUCGUCAGUGAAGGCUACAUAUAUGAUUUACAGGUUCAAAGUUUCGAGCAUCCAAAAUGGAUCUACUCAACACAAAAAUGAAGACUUUUAUUUGAAGAAAAGUUUUAAUUUAUAAAUAUACCAACCAAUUUUUGAAAAUAAUAAAUAAAAUUUUACAAUUUAUUGGCACAAAUUUAGAAAAUACCUCUAGGGAAUGUUUGGCUCAUGGAUUUGGAAUUAGGGGUUCAAAUGGACAAUUAAAUAAAAUUUUGGAAUUAUGAAACCAAACCCAUGGGUGAUAACGUUGCUAUCUUUAUAAGAUUAAUUUUGGCCUAGGUACAUAUUCCUUCCAUCGAAAAAACUAUUAUUUUGGUCGUAGAUAAAAUCAAGGCUCAAAAUAAUAAUAAAAAAUGUUUUUCGCAUUUAAGACAAUUUUGUUCUCAAACUUAAAUGAAGUCACAUUAUACAAGACUAUGUUAGAAUCUCUACAUUAAGCUAGCUUUUUUGAAAACAAUUCUUUUUCAAAUUAGUUUUCUAAAGAGAAUUAAAGUUAUUUCUUCUCUAUCAAUUCCAUUCGUAUUCUCACGUUUCUACUUCAAGAAACAAAUAUGUUAUUUAGGAGCUUUAGUCUUAAGCUUCAUUUUCAUAAAAUGGAAGGUUUUGAUUUUCUUACUUGAUAACUGCAUUUCCACACAUGAGUUUACAGCCAAAUUUUUUAUCAUUUAAUCAGAGGCGUGGAGUCUCAUGUGACGACUUGAGCAGAACCAAUUUUAAUAAACAUAUUAAUUAUAAAUCAUAAUAAUUAAAUUGGGUGUUGUAUCACAUCAAUUAAUUGUUGGAAAAAUAUAUUGGUUGAGGUUUAGGUUAAAAAACUAAAAAGCUUAACUAAAAUAAGAAAUAAUACCAAUUUUAAAUUUUAACUAUUUCUAAAGUAUUUUUUUUAAAAAAAUAAAUGGAUAAAAACUGCUCACAACGUACUCGUUUGGAUUCAAAUACAAUUAAUAACUAUAUAUCAUUUUACAAAUAAAACAACACAAAUAAAGAAUUGAAUGAAGAAACAAAAUAAGGAAAAUACUUGAACAAAAACUAUGCAGUCUUAGACAUUUAAAUCAGCAAUUCAUUACAGCUUUUUUGUAUUUAAAUGACAAAAAUACAAACCAAAUAGUAAUGAAAUUAAUUAUGAUGUAUAUUCUAUAUAAGGAUAAUUUGGUGGGCUAUUUUAAAGAACAUCAUAUCUAUUACUUUAGAUAAAAAAAAAAUAAUAAAUGAAAGUAUUGCUUUUUUAUUAAGUUAAAUUUCUGCAUAAACUUAAUUCUUGCAAAGAAUUUUCGAUGUAAAACCAACCAUGUAAGCUCAUGUGUUGGAAUACAGUUAGCCUUCGAUUUUAUGAAAAUAAAGCUUAAGACUAAAACUCCUGAACAAAUCAUACGAAUAGAAUUGAUAGAGAGAUAGAAGAAAUAACUCUAAUUCUUUUUAGAACACUAAUUUUAAAGAGAGUUCGUUUUUCAAAGAGUUUGCUUAAUUUAUUUCAUAGAUUCUAUGAGUGGGUUCAAGUCUUCGAUAAUGUGACUUCAUUUAAGUUUUAGUUGUCUCAAAUGCAGGACAAAUCAUUUUAUCGCAUAUCUAUGUUCGGGACAAAUAAUUUGUUCUCUUAUACGAACACUUCAUUUAAUUCGCUAAUCUGAGCCUUUAACCCAAAAUUCUUGUAUCCUAAUUCAUCUUACUUCCUCACAACAUACAUAGACAUAAACAUUCUAAUAAUAUGAAAAUCUGGUAUAAAUUUUAGCCAUAUAUUUAGGAGAUGGUGAUGCAAUUUUAUGUCAACAUAAACAAAUGGUUCAUUAUUUGAAUCUAAGAUACAUCAUAGAUAAACUAACCUAUUGAAUUUAAGAUCUAUAUUUUAUAAAUAUUUUAAUUUAAUUUUGUUAUAUUCUUUUGAAAGAAAAAUGGUCAAAAAGAUAACAUUUACAAAAUAUUUAUAUUUAUAAUUUAUAGAAAAAUCAAAUGUAGUAAUUUUUUUUUUGUCAAUUUUUAAGAAAAAUCCCUAUUUGAAAAAAGCUUUUAAAAUCAGAAAUAUGAUUUUAUUGAUGAGAGUUGUGAGAGCUCAAAAGAGUAUUUUGAAGAAAUGUCUAUGCGGCCUAUCCCCUUUCCCCUUUCCCCUUUCCCGAUUGUCGCUUACAUUCUACAAAGAAAUAAAUAAAUAAACCUACAGUGAAAUGUUCUCCAAUGUACUUAUUACAACCCAGAAUUAAGAAGGAAAAAUGAAGUGGAGAAACGCACGAGAAAGGGUAAUGGGUCAUUCCUAGGGAUGGGGACAUUGGGGAGGAGAACUCAUCUUUGUUGAUAUCAUUCAUCCAAUUUGCUAUUCAUAAAGCUAUUGAACAAAACCCAGCAUUUAUUUUUUCCUGAAAGCUGAAACCGAGUAAUCAUUUGAAGGAAUAAUAAUAAUAAUAAUAAUGCACAUAAAAUCUAAGAAGAAGAAGACAGAAAUUCUACAUGUACACUUUCUGGCGGUCUCUGUCUGUCAUGUGCAUUGAAAGAAGUGCUCCAGUGAUGCCGACGUGAAAACAUUAGAGGCCAUCCUCUCGGGCUUCACUUCAGAUACGUGAAGCUGACACUUGAUGAAUCUCUGUGGCAUUUUAAAUCAAACAAACUUCGCAGAUUCGUUUUGAAAAAUAUGUAAGAUUUCAAUGUAGCACAUGGUUUUUAAAAGUUAUGCUAGUUUCCUAUAAGGUAAUGUUUGAAUUCUUAGUUAAAUUCUAAAAAUAAAAACAAGUUCCAGGUAGAUUGUAGAUAACAUAACAAAGUCUACAAGUGCCUAUAGCUAAAAGUAGAGUGUUCAUAAGCUUGAUUUUUAAGUUUAAUUUUUAAAGAUUAGUAAGUGGACCUUGGUGUGUGAUCACCCUCAAUAAACUUGGAUUACUAAAUUAUAUGGAAACAAACCGCUAAUUGAGAUAUGAUUUCAGGAUCUGAGUCGAUAUGCCAAUCAGGUUCCAGUUGCCGAACAAAAGACGUCCUCCCAUUUUCUGUACUACAGAAGAGAACCUAAACAAAGAAGUACAAAAUUCAACCAUGUAAACAUAGUUCAGCUAGCUUCUCACAGGAGGUCUUAAUGGGGAGGGAUGCCAAAAGCAUUAAGAAAUUUAGUAAGAAAAAGAAAUAAUAGACAAAAGGAUAUUAAACGCCCAACACACUGCAGCAACCAAGAAACAAGCAAAUAAAAUAUAACGUAAAACACUAGGAUCAAUUUAUCAACCUCAUAAGGAUAAGGAAACUAUGAACAAUAAGCAGUCGAAACUUAUGAAAUAAAUAAAGUUGAUAGGGCCAACCUUUUCCUUGAUCAAGCCACCUGAUGCGAAAACACCAGCAUCUUCUAGAGCCACAAUAACCUUUCUCUGCACAAAAUAUUUUUUCAGUAUUAAAACUAAUAAAAUGAUGGUAUAUGAAGAUACUGCAAAAGGAAAUGCCUUCGAACCAUGGAGUUUUAGGGAACAAGGUAGAUUGUAGCUCCCAGAUCAUAAACUGAGUACCAAAAAGCAUAAAGCUGUUGUAUAGAGUUAGAUUUUUAAUCCUCAAACCAUCCUUAUUAUUAUUAUUAUUAUUUUCUUUUUGUUUCAAGUUUGAGCGUAUUUUGACUGCAUACCACCAGGAGAGAGAGCACAAAUCUUCUAUGCCAACCAUUUAAAGUGAGCAUUUUGCAGACUUCACUUAAGUUUGGAAAGUUCAUCCUGAUAAAUUAGUCUCACCUCGCUUUCCUCAUCAAGAACUCUUUCCAUCAAAUAGAGAUCACAAUAAUUUGUGAUCUCUAAAAGCACAUCCACGACAGAGGACCUUACAGUUGCUUGAUUCUGUCAAUAGCAUUACCAAACAUCAACACAAAACGAUAAUUCUUUCUCAAAGACAAUUUCACUCCAAAACACAUAGAUAGGAAAAAUACCACAGCCUGCAGCUCUUCUGGACUUUUUUCCUCCAAAAUUAUUCCAAGCAGACGACAAGUUACCUAAAAUAACAAGAAUUGGAAUCAGAACUUAUCAUUACAAUUUGUAAACUGUAACAUACUUCUACAAGAUGAAAGGUCGACUUCACUGCGUAAGCUUUUGGGCACGUAGUAUGAUAAACAUUAACUUGAAAGGUUAAUCUUACGUGUGAUGAAUGGUCAAUGAGAUUAGACUUUAAAGGCUAUCCAUUUCUAAUCAAAUAACUCAUAUCUAGCUUUCACCAUAUGAAGGAUCAUCGGACAUGUUUUCAUUACCUUUCUUCCACCACCAAGCUUUUGUCUAACAAUUUGCUCCAAAGUUGGCUGAAAAACACCACACUCAUUAUAAACUAUGUAAUGAAUACUAAUAAAUUGUAAAAAUACACAUUUUUAGUCUAUGAAAAAGUUUUCACUCAGCUCUUAAGCUUGAAAAGGCAACAUAACCCUUGAGGUAUGAAAUCUGGUCCAAGUUGGUCUUUGAAAUGCAUAUUACAUCAAUGAUGCUAAUAGGAUCUAGUUAAAUGAUAUCGUAUCAAUGCUUAACUGACGUGUCAAGCAUAAUAAUUAAUAAUUAUAUAUACAUUGCAUGUUUGUUCUUCUUUCACAUAUCAAAUAAAUAAAAUUAAUACAACUUGUGACAUUAUCAAAAUUCAUUAGACAUGUAAAGCACAAUAUCAAUUAAUUUGCUCAAUAAAAUUUUUGCUAGUACCAGUAAGGGAAUAAUUAUUCUAGGAACCAAACUUCAGGAGUUAUAAUGUGAGAAACUUAAGGAUGAAAGUGAAAACUUUUUCAAACUACAAAUACAAAAGAUGUAUUUUUCCUAAACCACAACUGACCUUCUGUGCACCUGCGUCAUCUGAAGGAGAAAAAACUGCAGAAGUAAUCAAUUGUGAAUUUGAACUUGUGCUGAUGUCAGAGUUGCCUGCUGAAGAAGUUUGCCUUUUUGGUUGUCUUCUGCGAUGUCCACUAGGUGGUCUUAACAGUUUCCAUGAGAAUAUGACAGCAAGAGCCAAACCCGCAAUAGCACUAAGAGAUCGGAAAUUCUGCAACAAAUUAGAACAUGAAGCAUCAAAUUGUGAUCUUAGUUGAACAUCUGUUACACCUGCCACUGUCCAAAGAAAACAGACAACUCCAUCAAAAACAGGUAUUUCCAACAAAAAUUAGUACUUUGCAGCACCUGUGUUUUACUAAUGACACACACUGUGAUAGGAAUGCUAUGAGUAAAUAAUUAAAGUAUUAAGAGCAUAUUAGCAACUCAUUAAUGAGCCUGUUAGGGAAGUUUGAUUAUAAAUAGAGGUUAAGGGAAUGAGGAAGGUAAGCUAUAUUUUGAAGUAUGAACUACGACGUGAGAGCAUCUCAAGUUUGGGCGGGUCCAAGUACCUCGGACACUUGGUUUAUCAUGUAAUUCAAUAUCAUUUUAUAUUUAAUAUAUUCAGGUUCUAUUGUUUCUUUCCAGCAACCAUGUCACAAAAGUGCAUGCAACAACAAAAACAGGAGCUAAAAAACAAAAAAGUUUGUACUCGUAUUUCUAUCCUUAAAAAGUGUACAACAACCCAUCAAUAACUGUCGGAUUAUGCCCACUUUGGAUUCCUCAGGAUCUUGUCAACCUCAUUAGUUGAACUACUAGGAGCUCUGAAGACCGGAAAGUUGAAAUAUUUGCAAGGACAACUUAAACUAGAGUAAGUCUUCCUCCUUUAGAUAUGCUAGUUGGGGAUUCCUUUAGAUAUGCCUACUUUGAGGAUCGAUUCCCAUGGAAAGUUCCAAUUACCAAAGGGGCUACUAAGCUGAAGUGAAAGAGAAGUUAUUAGCCCACCACCACUAAUCUACAAACAUUUUUUUUAUAUAACAGCAUUCAUUGAAAAAAAAAAUUAAAGAAUACAAGAGCAUACAAAAACAAAGCCCACAAUAACAAAUUCCACUAAUGAAAGGGUUUCCAACUAACUAAGAUAUUGUCUAGCAAAUAAUAACAAAAGAUCUUCGAAAUCGAAGCCCAAAUAGAAACAUAGAACCUCGACAAGGACUAAAACUCACAAGGGUUCUUAUCCACACCUCAAAAUACUCCAUUGUUCCUCUCCCCCCAAAUAUCCCACAACAAAGCACACACCCCCAUGAAACACAAAAAACGACCUUUUUCUUUGAAAGGUGGAUGAAGGCAGAACUCCCCCAUCAUCAAACAAAUGUCCCUUUGGCGAGCAAUCACAAGCUCAAACUCCUAAGAUAACAAUUCUACACCAGUCCCGCAAACUUCCACUCCAAAGAAGGUGGUCAAAGUUUUCCUCAGCCUUCCGACAAACGAUACAACAAAAAUGAUCCAUUAACAAAGGCAUAUUUCUCGAGGUUCCAUUGUGUUCACACGGCUGAGAGAACUUGCCAAUGUCAAGGAAAACUUGACUUUCUCCAGACAUUGAUCCUCACCACUGUAUUGCAGAUUUAUGCAUCAAACCUUUUUUUUUCUUCUAGAAAAAAAAUCCUUUCAAGGACUACCAAAUAAGUGGUCAAUUUUUUAUUUGCCAAAGGGAGCAAGAGGAUUGUAAUUUGCAAACUGAGAUGAUCAACUUUGUUUCCAUGGCUCCUGGAAAAAACCUACUCAAGUCAAAAAAGGUACAGUAAUAAAGGAUCUCUUGGUCUCAAUUCAACUCUCUCAAGUGUUUAACUUCCCUCUUGAUCUCUCAUAAAAUAUAAGCUAUGAAGAUUGUAUGCAAAAGGAAUCCUCUGUUGCACAUUCCUGAAUUUGAGUCAAAGCCUUUUCCUUGAGAUUGGUAAUCACAAAUUCUGAUCACCAAACAGUACAGUUUCUCAUGGUUAAGUUUAUAGACCCCCCUUCUGCUUUUUUACUCCUCACUCAUCUUUGAGUGUGUUGAUAACAAGGAUGGGAUCCUAAACUUUUCCUUCUCCCACAAACACAACUUGACAUUUAAUAGUGAUUGAGGAAAAUUUGGCUACAAUCCCUCUUCCAACACUUUUUCCACCCCCUUCUAUUGAUGUUGUUAGAAUUAGCAGGCUUGUUGUAUGUUGAAAGCCCAAAGGUUUUCAGUCUUUUAUGUUUCCCUAAUGGUCUUUCAUUCUUUUAAUUAGGUUUGUAUUGCCUAUAAAUUAAUGCUCUCAUGUAUCAUUAGUUUUAUUAAGAAAGAUUUACACCGUAGUUUUUCUCCCAGAACUAGGGUUUCCACAUAAAACUUGUGUUUGUUCUUUGUCUCUACAUUCAAUAGAUGCUAUAUGUGAUAUUACCAUCCUGAAAUAGUCCUGUAACAUAGUCAUUACUCAUUGGAUGAUCUUGUUCCAAGACUUAUUAAAGGCAACGUGGACCAGGAUUGAAGACUACGAUCUACGAAUGAAAUUUCUUCAUUGAAUUUCAGUAAAACUUUGAAAUUGACACUUUGACAAGUGAGAUAGGAUCCUAGGUUAGAUGCCUGGGAAAGAAAUUUUUACCAUUUUUCUGUAGUCCACAACCUUUGAACAAAGAAGUAAAAAAAUUCAAGUUCUACUGUUGGUCACAAAUCGACUUCUCACAUCACUGGUCAGCACCUCCAAACAUCUACCUACAAUAAAGCUAUUUAUCCUGCUGGCCAUAAAAUUCUAUAGAAAAUGCUAGAGUUUCGAUCUCCCUCCUGAAGGGAUUUUGGUGUCACCUCUGAAGCCAUAAAACUUCCUUGCAUUGAAUCUAUGUUUUCAUUCAAAAUGCCCCUUUUGUCCGGCAACUCCAGGAUAAGGGAUUUUUUCUAUAAGCUCUUUAUUUAAAUAUUUGUCAUCAUUAUUAAUAUUAGUAGUAGUAUUAUUUUAGAUAUCAUUGCACCUUGACUAACAGCAAACAAAUAUGAAACACAAUGAUUAUAGCUAAAAUCAAACCACCAACUAGCAUCUGAGGUUACUGCUCACAAACAAUAAAAUCUUUUUAAGAAUUAGUAAAGUUACAGCUCUCGAUUCUGGCCAAUUUCAAACAAUCAUCAGACAUCAGUCAUAAUUUACCAGAGUGAUGGCAAGAACAUCACAACUUGGGAAAGACAACAAUCUUACUAAAAAGUCUACAGCAUUAACAAAUCAAUUAAGAGAGCCGGAUAGCUUUAUAUAUCAAUCAAGCGAAAUUAUGGGGCUGAGCAUUUAACACAAAUUCCAGACCCGUCACUACAAAAUCUAGAACGAGAAGCAGAAUUUGAAAACAGAAUUUCCAAAAAUGAACUGCAAAACGCAACGAAAUGAAUAGAGACGAAAGGAAUGGAAAACAAACCCGAGUUUGAAACAAUAUCGAGAAUAAAGUGGAGAGUUUAACACUUAGAUUACUCCCGAGCCUCUUGAUUAGCCGGACGAGCUCCUCUUUUGAAGAAAAUUCCGCCAUUAGAGAACCCUAAGACCCUGUGAUAUCGAAGAAUCCACGUCCGCCGCGGGGGUUGCUCAGUGGAUUACUAUUACGGCGGGAAGAGAAUACAUUUCCAUUCUGGUCUCCUCCAACCAUGAGAGCUUUCAAAGGAUUUUUUAAUAUUAUUAUUUUGAAAAGGAUUUUUUUAGUUUCAAAUAAGAGUUUCUGAAAAAUAAAAAAAUUGGCUAACUAUUUCGUCUAACAAAAUUCAUUAUUUUUCCAUCCAAUGUAAAUAUUUUAUUCUUAUUCAGUGUGUUUUUUUCAUCUUUUUUAAAUGAAAUAAGUUUUCUACUCUAUUGCUAAAUAUAUAGUUCAAUUGAUAUAAUGUUUAAGUUUUAAAAUUAAGUUGUUUGACUCAUCUAUCUUGUAUACAUACAUAGUUAAAAUAGUAAAUAAAUAUCACCUUUGAUAAAUUUUAACCUUGAAUAAUGAAAAGUUUUACAUUGAUUAAUUGUAAGUAAUAUUUACUCUACUUUUUAUACCAAGUCAAAUUUUACUCUUUAUUUUAUUAAAAGAAAUAACUUUUUUGGAACAAUCUUAAAGUUAGAAGAGCAAAAUUAGAAUUUUCCUGAGGUUCAGCCAAUUAACUAAAACUUAAUUCAAAAUUUUAAUUAAGGAUACUUAUGUAUAAUCUAACCAUUAUUAUUGUUAUAUUAUUAAAAAAUUUCAUGAUUUUUUUUCUCUAUUAAUGGAGCAAAAUCGACCUGAAAAUUACAAUGAAUUAUAAUACUAUGUUUUCUUAAUUUAUCAUUGAUUUACAUCCAAGAAGUCAGAUAGUAAAAUCCUUUAUUAUUUUCUUGUAAAAAGGUAUACAUAAGGAUUAGCCCAUAAACAGUUAAAAAAAUUUAAACCCAAAAGGAAUUUUAGAUCUAAAAAUUUAAUUUUUUUUUUAUGUAAUUUCUAUUUUUAAUUAUAUAAACUUAAAAACUUAAAAUAUCAUAAUCAAUUAGCUAAACUCAAAUUGAGUGGUUAUUUAAAAAUGGACGGUAUAUCUAACAGUCUUAACACUUUGCGUGUUUUUAGAAUAAGGUUAAAAUUAGAGCCUGUUUUUAAAUAUUAGAUUUAGAUCAGCUUAAUCAGUAAUGUAAUCUUAAUUAUAUAUAGAAAGUGUUAACUACUAAUGGAAUAAUAAUCCAAAUGGGAUAUGGUUGUGGGAAGUUGUUCUUUGUUCCCACUUUUUCCAAUCAAGUUAGGUCUUGUAUUCUUCGCUUUUUCUUCAACAAGUUUUCAUCAGCCUAACCCUAUCUUCUUCAUCUCCCCAAAAUUCUUCUUUCUUCUUUUGCAAGGUGCAACAUUUGGAGGUUAAAUAUUAAAUCUCUCUAACUUAGCGAUACAAUAAUUAAAUUUACCUUCAACUAUUAGUUUAGUUUAAGUUUUUUUUCAUGAAUUGACGGUUUAAUAUAGUAUCAGAGAGGUCCUUGCAUUGUCGUUUCCUUUCCAAUUAAAAUUGAUUUUCACUUGUUGGACAUUUCUACAAUAAUUAAAUUUGUCUUUAACCACUAGCUUAAGCUUUUAGAUGAAUUGGUUGUUUAAUAGUUUACACCUAUAUUAGUUUAAGUUUUUGGAUAGACUGAUGGUUUAAAAUGGUAUUAGAGAAUCCCAGAAUUCUUUGAGAUUAUUUUCUUAGCCUCGUGUUUAAGUACUUAUCAUGUUAUUUCCUCCUCAAUUAAUAUUAAUUUUCACUUAUUAAGUCUUUCUUGAUAAGUGUUAGAUAUUAAAUUUGUUUUCACCUAUCAACUUAGUGAUUUAAGGUAUGUAGUCAAAGUUUGGCCAAGUUAGAUAAAAUUAGUGUCGAUCUUUGUUACGGUAGGUAGAAAUUAAAAUUAAUUAACAAUAUUGACAUUCAAACCACUCUUAUUUUCUUUUGGUUCACACAUUCCUACAACUCAUACCUUCUCCUACCUAAGUCACUAACCACACUUCUUAUUCUCACCCACCUAAUAGCAUUAACAUUAUUUACUUGUGUAUUAGGCAUGUGAUACGUUGAAUCACUUGUUACAGUUCCUGACUUUCUUUAUCAUAAGAAAAGUUUGUUGAUUUUUAUAAAAAAAAUUACAUUCUUUUGCAAAUUUGCAAUUUGAAUUUUAUACCAUAAUUUUAAAAUAUGCGAUGUUGAAAAACUACAAAAUAACGUAUUUUUUGUAUUAUGUAUGACUCCCACUCGUCUAUGUACAUCCUAUGCACUUCAAACGUGUCAAAGAGUUCAUACAUUGACAUAGGAACACUCAUUUGAAUUUUGAUUGACUCAAAAUCUAACGAGUCUUGAUUAUCUGUCAUUCAUAUGUGUUAAUUUAACUUUAGAGAUGUUUUCAAACUCUUCAAUAAACCUUAUUUUGAAUUUCCAUCAUGCACUAUCUAGCUUCUACUAAGCAUGUCCCUAACACUUCCCUCUCAACCUCUACUUUAACUUGUUGAUUGACAUGACAUAGACAUGCUUUUCAACGUAUGUUUCUUUCAUGUUUCCUCCCAGAAAUCAAUCAGUGAAGGAAAACGAAGGCCUUGGGCCUUGGCUAGAAGCAGUUAUCUACCCUAGGCUUAGCUUUUCUUCUGCUACUUCUCGUGCAACCACUUAUUUUACCGAUCUCACAACCUCUCUUUCUAAUAGCAUGGACAAUCUCGCAGCUUUAAUUUGCACCUUUCCACUCUGUAUUAUGAAUCCCCCUCUUAUCUUUCUCUCUCUCCCUCCUUGGUCUCGCCCUUUUUCUCUCUUCGGCGAGGAGUAGUCUUAACCCAUUAUCAAAUGAAUUAGCAUGUGUGCAUAAGAUAGUGUUCUAAUGCUACCUAUAAUUAAGUAUCAUAGUUAUAUGUUGUUGAAUAAAGGAUAUAUUGGAUAAGUGCAUGAAUGUGUUAAAAUAUUACAAUUGAUCUAGAGAUUAUUGAGCUAGAUCAAACAUAAAUUUAAUCAAAUAUGAACUAGUUAAAAAGUAAUUAUCUUCGCACUGACACAUGUUGCCAAAGAAAAUACAAAGUCCAAAGUGCUAUCUGCCCAAAUGUGUUGAAUAGUUUCAAAUAUAACCACACCCAACUAAAAAAGUCUGGAAAAAUUAACUUAGUUGAUCACAUCCAUCAAAUUAAACCGGUGAACCUAAUGUGUUCAAACUUCAAAGAAAUUAAAUUCUUGUGUAUGAUAUGUUGAUGAGUAGGUAUAACACCUUGAUGAGUAGGUACAACAAGUCAAAGUGUCAAGCCGAUUUGGGUCGGUGUAACAUGUGUCUUAUCCUGUUCCAUUUAAAGUUGACAACAUCAUUUUAUUGUUAGGUUAUACAGGGUAACUAAAUACUCUCUCAAUUAUUCCUUGUUUUAUUACAUUGUUAUCUUUUAAAAAUAAUAAAGGAUAUAUAACAGUAUUUAAGAAUAUUUGUGAAGCAGAAUCACGAUGGAAAUUAAUUUAAAAAGAGAUGUAUUUAUUAAAAGAAUCUCAAUUGUGUAAUACACUGUCUAAGCUUAAAAAAAUAGAUUGAGUGUAUCCAAGACCAACUGAAAAGAUAUCUAAUUAAGUUUCGUACAACACCAAAAAGAUCUUGAAACUCAGAUUAAAGAAAAGACCUUCACUUUAAUAAUUGACCACUCACAUAAGCUCCACCACUAGAAUUAGAAAAUAGGAGGAGAAAAAAAUUAAAUAUUCACAAAUUUCAUAAUGGUGUCUAAUCUUCUUCUUCUUUUUUUUUUCCUUUUAAACUUUAAAUUCACCCAUUAUAUAUCAAUUGAGUUAUGGUAUGAGUUAGUUAUUAAAUGUAAAAGAAUGUUCUUGGUUGGUAUACCUAUGAGUGUUUAAAUUUUGAUUUGAUAAGAACAAAAUAUUAGAAAAGGGGUGGCAGGAGCAGGGGGACAUGAUCUCCUAAAAUCAGAGAUUUUUCACUUUAAUUAUAAGUUUAUAACAUGGAAGAAAAAUAAUGAUAAUGAUAAUAAUAAACAAGGCCAAAUUAAAGAAGGAAAUUACAGAAAGAGACAAGGAGUUUUCAAAACUUGGGAGCAAUUCUGAACAAAACUAUCUGAAUCACAGUGGUAAUUAAGGAAAUUCCUCUCCCUACUCACAAGACUUGGAGGAAGCACAACCUCCAUGGAAGCUCCCAAUAGAUACCGUUGCGUGUGGCUCUGGCAGGUGUUGCAAAGCAAGCACCGGACGUGCCGCAGGGCCAAGAAAUUCGCGCUGUGAACCGAUUUGUCGCACUUCCCGCACAAAUACGCCUCGUCGGCUUCGCAAUACAGCGACGCCCUGGAACCGCAUAGCUCACACCGUACAGGAUCGCCACCGCCGGCUGCCCCGUCAUCGGUGGUCCGACGUUGCCGGACGGCGACUUGGGUCGUUUCUUCCUGUUCUACACCUUUGCACAUGAUUGUUUAAUUUGUUGGAAAUGGAAGCUUGAUUGUCAAGGAAAUGGGGAUUUUGAGGGUGUUGAUUUAUAUAUAGAAGGUUGGUAAAUAGGACAAGAAGGAAAAGCAAGUUUCAUUAUUUAUAAUCAAUCAUACCCUUUAUGUUAUUUUUUUAUUUAGAUAUAAAAUAAAACAUUAUAAAAUUUUACAAUUCAA
RNAcentral lists this long non-coding RNA (46138 nucleotides) under Cucumis sativus (cucumber). RNAcentral describes it as "long non-coding RNA (CSAT_LNC002616)". Lineage: Eukaryota; Viridiplantae; Streptophyta; Magnoliopsida; Cucurbitales; Cucurbitaceae. The record is from RNAcentral.